CCCCACCUCUCUGUGUGGUCGGGGCUGCAGAGCCUCAGUUCCCAACAGCACAAGAACCUUCUGCUCCCCGAGAUGGCUGUUGGAGUGGGGGCUGCUCAGAGCUGUGAGGCAGUGCUUGCUUUCAGCCGGAGCUGGGAGGGAGGAGCUGCACCCGUCCCCUUAAAAUUUCACACUUCAAUUCAGGUGCAAGAAAUCCCAUUCUUUCUACAAAGAACGGGUGGAAAACCAGCCUGGUCCACAGGCAACAACCAAUGCCAUGGGACUGCUGUUACAAGGACAGGACAGGUGAGGAACUUGGGUCCUGCUGGCCCCAAUAUGGGAUGCUCCCACUGCACUCUGAUCUAGCUAAGACCUGAAAACCUGACCGGAACUGAUGCACACGCACUGGAGAUUUAUGUUCUCAUGUCAGAUCGAAGAUUCGUGGCAUUUCCUGGAAGGUUACAUGAUGUUUCAUUUUCAACAAAUAAGGUCAAAAGCACAAAGAAAUAAAUAAAAAAAAGCAAUCUCUCUAGAUCAGCUGUUUGCAAACGCCGGCGGUGCAAGCCUGUGUGUUGCUGCUUGUACAGAACUGCUUUCCUGGAGCAGCGUGCUGCUGAACCCACACAGCCUGCAGCAGGAAACAGCUUCAGCUGGAACAGAGCCCUGGGAUGGGUGUGCUGCUCACCCACACGUUCAGAUUGAAUAAGAAGAGGUGCUGGAAGGGCAGAAAUUGGGCAGUCAUUGGCAUGCAGCAGCACAGACCCCUGGACACAUCCCUCCUUCUGCAGCAAUGUCACAGCUAGAGGAUCCAGGUGGGAUGUCCUGGGCUUGCAUUUCAUCCUGCAAAUCCUCCCAGCGGGACAGCCCCUGCUCCUACCCUUGAAAGCAUGUUUGCAGCUACAGCAAAUAAAAUAAGGUUAAUGAAAAGUCACUCUGGAAACACGGAAGCACAGUCAGUGCUGCUGCUGUGAUGCUUCAUUUGAGAUGCAGGGAGGUAAAAUUCUGCCUCCCACCAGGGGUGUCACUGGGGAAUAUUAUUUCUUCCUUCUCUAAAUGACAUGGCAUCGUUUCUUCUUUUCAGGUCACUGCCAACUUGGUGUCACCGUUUGAUUUUUCAGGAAAGCGUAGUCUUUACCUGACAGCGGUGGUUGCCUCCAUCCACCCUCCCACCCCCAAAACAGAGCUACAAAAAUAGAUUCACCUACAGACGAAGAGCAAAUAAAGAUGGCUCCCAGCACGUGAAUAGCUGAUGAGGAGCCACUUAGCAGACUUGGCGUAUUCAUCAGCUUCAGCACAUGAUCGUUGAUUGUGUGUCUGCAGCUCCUUUGUUCUUCUUUGCUCAUUAUAAUCGGGUCAAAUGGGAUGCACACAAACCCCUGGCGGAAAUGAUAAGAGCCAAUGGAGAUGGCCAUAACCAUGACCCAUCCCAACUGGAAAAUUACCAGUUAGGAUUUUUUACAGCCCAUCAAACGGAGCCAUUCCAUCCAGCAGUGAGAGGUAGGUCACUGCUAAUUACGGGGUGAAAUCCAGCUCUGCACAUUGCCCUGUGCCUCUCAUUAGCAGCCCGGGCUGGAAGACCCUUGCAGAAGUAGGGCAGGGUUUCAGGGUGUGCUUCUCCAGUGCAGACCGGUCCUACCUUACAAGUACACAUCUGAAGCAGUUGAGGACUCAGCUGCAGUCUGGUGUAAGGGCAGAGUGGUGUAAGGGCAGAGUGGUGUAAGGCUGCUCUGUUUUCCCUGUCUGAUCCAGCCCAGGCACUGCAGUUCUUCUGGGCCCUUCACUCCCCACUCCUCCUGGCGCUGACCCAGUAAACCAGAUAGAACAGAGCAUCCUUCUCUCUUCACUUCUGGGUCAGAGGAAAACGCUGUUAUUAGGCUACCUCUACUUUAUGGUCUUUUAAUUAUUUCCACCUCUGUGAUUAGACUAAUUAGCUAACUGGUUUGUAAUGGCUGCAUGGUAGCUCUCAUUACGUUUUCAUUAAUCACAGCAUCACUGAGUCUCGCUAAGAGUCCAGGAUUUUUUUUUUGCGUUAUGAUUUGAAAUUAUUCAAAGCAAAAGGAAUCUGAAGGGGGAAAAGAAGUCAAUAGGAACAGACGCAGUGUUCAUCAGCAUCUUGGCAGAGAGACUCUCUGGUAUAUUUAGAAAUGCUGUGAUUUACAAGAGCCCACCAGCCAUUUACUUAGCGUCUGGAAGACACGGUGAGUUUGAAGUUUCCAAUCACAGCAGUUUAAGGCACCUUCUCACCCUCUUUGAUUUGAGACAGCUGAGUGACACACUCAAAUGGGAUCAGAAAUAAAAGGACUGACAGCACAUUUCCUUCAUCCCAAGAGCUGCACCCAGCAACGCCUCAGCAUCCCUUCAUCACAUGGAGAAGUGUGGGACAAAGCAGGAAAGAGAUCUAAGAGGAGGUUAAGUUUUUGCUGCUGGAAAAACAUUACUCUGACAGCUCCCAAGGCUUUGCUAUAAAUCUUUAUCCACCAAGGCAAUUUGAUGUGCUAAAAGACUUCUUAAAAUAAUCAAAAUUAAGAACAAGGCAGCCCACAUUGGGUAGUUUAAGUACGUGCACAGGGGGACGUUCAUCACUGUGGUUAUGACAGAAGAUAAUAAUAAUAAUAAUGAGAUUUAACACCUACUUAACAGGAGAAACCCAAAAGCCUGUACAAACACCAAUCAAUUAGCUCUGCCAACCAGCUGUGUGCUGGGCAGGAUGAUGGGGGAGAAGAUAAUUGCCCAGAAAGCUGAAGAUUGCCAGCAGAGAAGGCAGAACUGUACUGCUGCUCACUGCCCUGCAGCUGCCGUGGGAGUGCUGUCAGACAUUGCUACUGCUGCCUGCACCAACACCGUGUGAAAUCCUCCAAGGAAACCUGUACAGAAGGGCAGAGCUAUGUCCUGACAUCCCGAAGACUUUGCAAGGUGUCAGAGACAUAAACCAGGGAGAAACCAAAGUAGACUUUAUACAUCAGUCCUGCUUUAGCUUCUGAGAGCUGAAAAUUGGUCAUACUCUUUACGGACGGAGGUGCUAUAGAGCCCUAUUACUGGUCGUUCUUCUUCCUUUUCAACCAUCCUCCACCUGAUCCUGGUCAGGCUGGAUAUCAGGAGAAAUUCCUACUCAGAAGGAGCAGUCAUGCAUUGGUAGAGCUGCCCAGGGAGGUGGUGGGGUCACCAUCCCUGGAGGUGUUCAAGAAAAGGGUAGAUGUGACCCAGAGGGACAUUAGUGGGCAUGGUGGGAUGGAUUGGGGUUGGACGUGAUGGCAUUAGAGGUCUUUUCCAACCUUAAUGAUUCAGUGAAAACAGUCUCCAGCUCCAUAGCAUCCUGCAGCCUGCCCUGGGAACAGUGAUACCUGCAGCUGACACUGAGCCAGAGAUAGCAGCAUCUCAGUGCUUACCCCCAGGCAGAAAGAACUCUGCACUGCACUUGCUUCUCUGUGACUGUCAGCUGCAGCCUGGGCAGAGCCAGCAGCCAGGUUCCAGGGAUGCCCAUGUGCCUCCCAUCUAUCCCAUGCCUGGCUGUGGCAUUUAAAGGCAGUGAGCACACAGCAGCAAACGCAGUGCUGCAGUGCUGUAUAAUUUUAGUGGCCGCUAAGUAACACUCGUAACUUUUUUAACACAAGGAACAAGAAUUUACAGUGCCAUUCAUGGGGGGCUGUUGUAAUUAAUUGGGGCCCUAUGUGACCCAAGGCAUUUCCCCAACCUUCUGGCACCGUGGGAUGGAUGGGAGCUGCAUGCUGUGCUCACCGCUGGCUCCUGCUUGCAGCAGGGAGGGAAGCAGCAUUCUGCAUUUCCUGAGUAUAAAAGGCUGAGGAGUCCCCGUGACAAGCAAACCAUUAAAAAGAAAAAGGAACAAUAAUGCCAAGCAAAAUAUCGCUUCGGGGAAAAAUUUUGGCUUGCUUUUAGCACAGAUGUUGAUAUUGCAUGCUCAGAAAUGGCUCUGGAAAGUGGCAACGCUUUUGCAGUGUGCUAUGAGAUGGUGCACGGAGGCAACGAGCUGUGCUUCAAGGGGAGGAAUCGGAGCAUUUGAAAAUUAAAAGAAAUAAAAAGGAAAAGCCUUCUGAAAGAGAAGUUAUGAGGAGAGCUUCCGCACACUACAGCCCCCCCAAAUUAGUCUGUGGAGAACUGUCCUACACUUCUCUGCUCCAGCGGCAGUGGGCUCUGACAGGAGGAGGAUGCAAACAACAUAUGUGGGCUCUUUGGCUCCAGGCAAAGCUCUGCCAGAGCUCCCAAGGGUAAGCCCUUACCCAUAGAGAGCAGACACCCAUCCCCUGAAUGCCUGUGAAUGCAGUGAGGCCCCCUCCUGUGCCCUGAGUGCCUCCGCAGUAUGUAAAGAGGUGUUUUUCACAUGAUGGGUGUCCUCAUUUCCAGCCCUGGAGUGCUCAGGAGGAGGGGAUCCCGGUGCCUUUCCGGGAUGAGGGAGGUGCAGGUCAUGGUGGGGUACAGUUUUUGGGCAUCCAAUGGCAGUGUGUGGCAAUGCUCGUGCAUCGUGCAGAGGUGAUUGCUUUGCACUUUGCAUAUUCCCUCUGUGCAAUGCGCUGGGAUUUUUCAUUGCAUCCAUAAUUCAUAUCCUGCUGCAGCAGUUCUAUGGAGGCAGCACAGGAUCUCAGCUCCAGCAUUAAGCAGGGAAGGAGAUGCUCUCAUCACCAGACAGCAAACCGGGCAGCUGGGGUGCAAAGAGCAUCUCUGCUCUGCACCAACUGUCCUGCAGGCAGGGAUGCAAGCAGACAGUGAGAUGAGAGUGCCAGGGGUGACUGCAGGAUGGGUAGCAGCACAGGGCUGCCUGCUUGUCCUGCCCAGCCCUGUUUUACACAUGCAUGGCAUCAUGCAGUGCCGGAUGCCGGUGCACCACUGGUUUUUGUGGUAAAAAUGCUUUCUGGCCUGGAAGGUCACAGCCUUUGCUCACAAAGCCACCCACGAUCCCUCCCAGGCUGUGAGGCUUUCUCCUGCAUCUCCACUGUAACACAUGCACUGAAAAACCCUGUUUGUCAGAAAGCAAAGUGUGUCGGGAGAUUAAAAUGUAAAUGUUGCGCUCGGCUUUUCGGAGGGGGGCUGCUGGUUUAUUUGUGACGCUGCAGGAAAUAGGUUUUUGAUAACUGCAGAACUUCUCCCCAGCCGCUGCUGCAAACAGCCAAAGCCUCAAUAAAUAACUCCUACCGUUGAACACCAACGUGCUCAUGGUCUGGAGAAGUGCUGGGAAUCAUAGAAUCAUAGAACGGCUUGGGUUGGAAGGGACCCCAAGGAUCAUCAAGUUCCAACCCCCCGCCACAGGCAGGGCCACCAACAUCCAGAUGUGUUAUUAGGGGAGCUGUGAUUGAGGUUUCCUGCCCUUCCUUGGGCUGGGAGGGGUGCUGCAGAAGGGCCCCUUAGCAGUGCUGACUAUAACCACCGUAUAUUCUGUUUUUACCAUUUAUUGGCUUGGGAAUCUGGGGAAAGGUCUCUGCGGGAGUGAUAUGUUGUACUGUGUGAGGGUCACUCGUGAGCAUCAGAAUGAGGCGCUGAAAGAGAGCGUGGAAGGGGUUUGCAGGGUUUUGGCAUCCCCAGUGGGCACGCAUUUAGAUGUGUGAACCUUGGGAUAAGGAGCUCUUGGAUCACGGCUCUCACUUUAAAACUACAGCCAGCAUCAAUAUUCAUGGCUUUAAUACCAAAAAGGAUGCAAGGCUAAAUGAAGCAGGCUUGUGUAGUACACGGAAUAACCUGAACACGACUGCUGCGUUCAGGAGCGACCAGUGAGUCAAAAAUCUCUCCCAGCAUUAAUCUGGCAAAUGAUUUCAAACAAUGGAGAUGGAUAUGAGGAAGAACAGACCCCACGCUAACAGAGCCUGAUCUGUAAACUUGGCUACUGACUUUGUAUCCCUUAUGUAAACUCGGAAGAGUAACGUAUUUAUAGCCUCUUGACGUAAGUAUCCCCUGUGAAAUAUGGGAUGCAAUAAAUAUUCUGCCAUCUCAGGAAGCCUUUAGGACCAAACAGUACCGAGAUGCUGCAAAGACAAACCCUAUGCAGCUAACGAGUGUUGGGGAGCUGCCAGCCAGCUGAAAACAUCGCAAGUGAAAGCAUGGAAACAGCCUUGCUGGUAACGCGGGGAGAGUUUUAUUGACACAGUCACAAUGCAAGGUCACUGCAUAAUGCCUUCCAGCUCUUCGUGGCACCUUAACAAAUCCCUUCCAACCAUCAGGUUGGGGUUUGGUCAGCUUUAUCCCAGCGUUUUGUUGUUGGUCAAUAAUUUCCUUCUGUUCUUUUUAUGGUGUUUUUUUUUUUUUUUUCCCUUUAUGAUGUAAAGAUGAGCUCUGGGCCCCUCUCCCUGUCCCAUGCUGCCAGCACUGCUUUUUACAGAAUUACAAAUUACGCAGCACUUCCACAUUAAAACAAAAUGAGUUCAUCACCGUUUUUAAAUAAGGAUGUCAUUUGUAAAUGCUUUAUUCAUAAUUAAUGGAAUUAUUGCUGGGUGCAGCCACAUUCCUCAUCCAUGUACUAUAAGAUCUGUUGUAAAGUGCAUUAGUAAAAAGCUUUAUAGAUGGGGAUAUGACAAGCUGACUGCACAGUAUGUUAUGGGAUGCGGUGUAGCAUUGUUGUAACAAUCUCUAUGCAAGAUUUUAAGCUAUCAGUCAGCUGGGGGCUGAUGGAUAGUGUAAAUGUUAAUAAUUAAUAAUAGGAUAAUGUUGAUAACUAAUUAAUAGUAAAUGAUGAGUAUGGAUUUUUUUAGUUAGCAUUAUGCUAAUAUGCAUUAUUCACUGAAUCAUAAAAUCAUGUUAGAGAUGAGAAAGUCUCGCUGGCUGUCUCCAGCUCUGUCACUCAUGAGUGAAUGCUGCUCUUUCAAAGCAUUUUCCAAAUGGCAAUUUUCCUCCAGCUUUCUGGCUCAAAUCACUUGGCUAAGAAGCAUUUAGAAAAAGAAACACAACGUCAGAGCUCUGCAUAACUGUGCACCAGAGUAAUGUGUAGCCACGGCCUUUGGGAUGCGCGUAGGACAAACCUACCUGCCCUAAGAGUGACCCGCUGCCUCUACAAGGAAAUCAUUCACAAUGAAGGAAUCAGCUCUGCAGAUUUCUUUCAAUCCUAUGUGGCAUCCUCCUGCAAUUUAAAGCCAUUAGGCACGCUUACCUUACAGUGAGGGUAAAGGAAGGUCCUUGGGCUGGGGAGCAACACAGGGGUUGCGUGAAGGUGGUGAUGCAGCAGAAAGUUUAGCAGAGAGCUUUAAGGGUGGCUCAACACCAUUUUCCAUUAUUUUUUUUUCAGCUGGCGUUAUCUCUUUUUCUAUGUCCUAGGCAGGAUCAAAGCCGGCUUGACAUCAUGCUGGCUGCUCAGGGGAUGGGAAAUGCCGAAGGCAGCAUCAACUCUGGGAUUUAGAGCCUUAUGCAGUCCAAUGGCCCUGGGAGGUUCCCAGCAGGGAUAUCCCCAUCUCCAGCCUCGUUGUGGCCCAUUCAUCUCAAGCUCAGGUGGGUUUCCAGAGCACUGAAUCCAUCACCUGGCUCACGUCUGUCCUCACUGGACCAAAUGGGUAGUUCUCCAUCUCUGGUUCCAAAGACUGAGAUUCUGGAUAGCUCCUUCCUGGUGCUCAGCUGAUUUGUAGAUAACCACAGCCAAAGGCAUAAAGUAUAUUGAGCACUCUGGGGUUCUCGUGUCCUUGAUGAGGAGGGAUGCUCUUGUACCUUCUUACAAAACUGGUUCCUUAAACCAUGCCCAUACCCGCCCUGGUUCCCACCCUCUGACAAUGCAUGAGCAUGUCCUAAGGACUAGUGCAAGAGCAAACCUUGGCAAGCUAACCAACGAUAGGUGAUGCUGAUGUUCUCUUGUUGAAGGAACUAAUACAGGGAGUUUUCUUUUGAAAAAUGGGAGUCCUAUGAGUUGAUCUAGCUUGCCUUUCCUAUCCCUCUUCCCUUCCCUGCCUCUCAGAUCGGGUGUUUGGCUUUUCAGCGCUUUCACUCAAGCCAAAUCUGCAAGCACAUUUUUGGGUGGAUGUCACCAGGAUCCACUUCCUCCUGGCCCACAGACAGUCUGUCUCUUAUCUCACAUUAGUAUCAAUUAUUUACAGCAGUAAUGUUAAAUCAUGAAAACGAGGUUGCAGCAAAGCUGUGCCUUGGCUAAUGCCCCAUGCUGCCUGCAGCUUUUGGAGCCCUUGCGUUGUCUGCAUUUAACCUUCCAGAGAUGUGAUCCUAGAUAUAUUCCAUAUCUCAUGGCUGCAGGUUAGAGCAGGGGCAAGGCACCCACAUCCUCCAUGGCAUUUCUCUCCUUCCUUCUACCAGUGCCAUAGCACUUCUCAUAGCCUAUCAUUUGGGGGAAAGAAGCUCCCUCUGUGUUCACUCUGAUGCCAUGAGCUCUGAGCAGCGUGCUCAUGUUGGCACACAGUCCCUCACCAACUCCUUCAACAACUGCCUGCAUAAGGGAUUUUUUUUUUUUUUUGAUUCAUAGUAUUUAACCAUGAAUAUUUAAAAUCUCUGUUAAAUAGGGUUGUUAUACAGCUUAGAACAACAUAAAUACAAGUGUCUGGGCUUUACUUUGGAUCCAGGACAGCAGAAGUGCUUUACCUCUGAUGGAAAGUGCACCACUGAGUGAGGUGACGCUCAGUCUCCUGACCUUGGAACAGUGCCUACUUUUAGACUUCCAGUAACUCAGUAUUUUUCAGCUAAAUCCCUGCUUGCACCAGAGGAGCAAUCCUUUUCUAGCUGUGCUUCAACUGCUCACCUGGCACAUUCCCGCUCUGCUAGCUGCAGUUCUGGGAAGUGAAAAGAAACCUGAGGAGGUAAAAAGAAUGAAAAAAAAAAAUGAAAUUUGGAUGUAGAUACUGUGCAGGAAGUGAGGUGACCCCUAAAUCAUAGAAUUAUGGAGUCAUAGCACCAUUAACAUUGGAAGAGACCUCUGAGAUCCCCAAGUCCAACCCCACCCCAUCCCACGGUGCCCACUGCCCACGUCCCUCAGUGCCACAUCUCCACACUUCCAGAACACCUCCAGGGACAGUGACUCCACCACCUCCCUGGGCAGCUGUGCCUCUGCAUCACUGUUCUUUCUGGAAAGAAAUUUUUCCUAAUAUCCAAUCUUAUCCUUCCCUGGUACAACUUAGACAGCUGCCUGCAUGGUCCUGUUGAGCUGAGGCAGAGCUUGCCUUGGCCAGGCCUUUCCCAUUGCUCAGGGGAUGCUGAGGCAUUGAACAAGCUCCGAGCUCAGCAGGUUCUCUGCUGUUGCUCACCCAUGGGAUUUAGGGGAGAUGCAGGUGUCCCCUACAAGGGAGGAUGGAGAACAGGAAGACUGUUUUAAUUUUGAGCUCCUGUGAGUCACUUCAUUAGCCCUGCCUCUGCUUGACCCUCCUGCUGUUAUAUCAGCCUGACUGUUUAUUUUCCUCAUAAAACUAAAACAAGAUCGAUUGCUUUGUCCCGAGGCCCUUUAUGUGUCUUGGUGCCCACUGCAGCCCUGCCGUUAGCAGCAGGCCUAAUGCAAAUUGAAUCUUUGGGAAACGGGCAGUUUGGAGCUGCCCAUCUUCCUCCUCUUUCCUGCUUAAGUUUCAUCUAUUGCAUUUAAAAUAGAAACUUUAUCUAUUUAUUCUAAACAUAAAUAUGCAAUUUUCUUGCUGUCUAUAUGUGCACGGCGUGUCUCUGUUGUAGACACAUAUAUGCGAUCAAUAACCAUCUCUUGCUGGGGAUUUAAAUAUUAGUUUUCCAAAUCCAGUCUAGAGCACCAGAUUUAUUUUUAUGAAAAUAUACCCUUUCUUGCUUAAGGAGGGAUAUUAAUUAUAGAUGCAAACCCAUAAAUCUUCCGGAUUUAGGUGAGAUAUUUGCUGGAUUAUAAAUAUGAAUUGGAGAUGAGGGUCUUGCUCUUCCUAUUAUUACUAUUAUUAUUACUUACUGGUUAUUAUUUCGGUGUGAUCAGUAUCUUCGGGUGGGUCAAAUAUUGCUGGGGAAUGGGGAGCUGAGCCUUCAGAGGGUGCGCAUGCUGAAUUCAUUAAAAUGUUUUCUAUUCCACCCUUGCUCUCCACUGCGCUUCGCAGCCCGGUGAGUCAUUAAACACCCUGUUCAGAUCACUUCCCUUUCUCUCCAUCCUUCUUUUGGUACCUGUUUUCAUUGUGCUGCUUUUGCCAGAUCAUAUCAAGCUCCCUAGUGUUUAUUAAUAAUGUCCCACAUGCUAUUGACAAUGUGCUGUUGUUUCCGAGGGUCUGCUUCAAUACCAGUCUUGGGCAGCAGUGAAACCAGCGGCCAUCAGAGAGCCCAGACUCACCCAGGGCUUUGGCACAGGUAAUAAUAUUCUGCUCCAUUUAUUAUGACAAAUGUGGGAACAAAAGUAGUGUGCCACAAGGACUGAUCCCUUCCAACUCAAAAUGUUCCAUGACUCUAUGAUAAUUGCACGUUUCUUGCUAAUUCAGUGCAAACUGAGAUAGGAGUAAGUCACAGUGAUUCUCCCAGCCUUCACCAAGUGCUCCAAAGCCAAGAGGCAUUUCUAAAUCCCAGUUAACAGGAGUUAAACGGAAGACUUCACCAAGAACCUCAGGGCUUCCUGGUUCCCUGCUGAUCCUUCAACCAUGGGAUGCAAAAGGUGAGAUGCUCGCGGGCAUUAGCAGCAGCAAGAGGCAUGGAGCAAGGCUGGUGUGCAUCAAGAGAGGUUCCUGCAGGCAGCUCUGGCAAGUGCAGCAAUGUAGGGGGCUGCUGACCAAAGGAAAGCACAUGGUGGGAUCUCAAGUUGAUUUAAUGUAACACCGUACCCUGAAAUUAAUAGGACCUUGCAUGCCAGGACUGAAAAGAUAGGGCACUGUGUAAGGUCUGCUUUUUUAAAUUAGAGUCCCCUGCUUAAAUAAAUUAAGUGAGCUGUCAGUAUAUUAAAUGAUUUAAUGCCUUCUCCAGUUUUGCAGUGGAAUCCUAAUGAAAAUACUCUUCAGUAUAAAACGCUGGAUAAAUUAAAUGGUGAAGUGUUUUAAUAAAUGGUCUGUUGUUAUGGUGAACCACAUUAAAGUAAUGUUUAUCUCUAUGGUAAUGAUGUUGCCCUAGCUUUAAAACCAUUUCUGCUGGUUCAGGCUUCUUCAGAUAAAAUAUAAACGCUGAGCUGUUGUCCAGUUUCAAAAGCAUCUGCACAGUUCCUGGACCCAAACCUGAAAUCGAUGGCAGUCGUGCUGGCUGGCCAACACAGAGCUGGAUUCAAUGGAUUCAAGAGCAGAGGACUCUUGCACAUUUGCUCUGUGAUGUCAGCAGGGGGAUGAGGCAGAGCCUCCAAGCUGCAGGGGUGAGGCCCUACACGUACAUUGGGACGAGUUUGGGUAUUAAUGAACUACAGUGGAACAGUGAGUAGGCUGUGGAGGGGCUUAAAAUCUUUGCUGAUCUCAUUGCAGGUUAAGAUAACAAAUUAUAUCUCUUUUAUAUCCUUUAUAUAAGGUAAAGGCCUGCUUUUAAAGGUAAAGACAUUACGAGAAGAUAAAGUCCCUUUUAUAUAAAUUGGUUAUAAAACAAUUUUUAUUUUCUUGCUUUUGGAUAUCAGUUCUUAUUUGACCUCUUUCACUCAUCACAGUAUUUCUUUGGAAGGAAAAUUCUCCCCUCAUGCUAUUUUCAGAGCCUGAUAACCCAGAAAUAACAUCUUAGUGCCCAAAUUAAUUUUACAUUAAUAAUAAUAGUAUUAAUAAAAUAUACCUGUUUGUCCCCAGCUGCACUGAAAGAUGUCACUGGGGCUUACAAGACAGCCCCCAGGAGAAGCCAAAGGGUAGUUCUGGAGAUGCCCAAGAGUCGUCUGCACCAAAGGCUUUUGUGAGGAACUUCCAUGAAAGGAGAAAUUCCAGCAGCUUCUGAACCACAGAGCCAUUCCUCUGGCAGAGCUGAGGUGCCCAUGAGAGUCACCACUGAGGCUGACCACGAUCCAAAAGGAGGGGGUCGUCCCACUCAGUGCUCAGGGAUGAUGUCUUAAAUACUCAUAAUUAAGGCCAUCAAGAAAUCAGGGGAGGCGAAUCCUGUUCAUGCCGUGUGGGUCUCUGAGUGUUCAUUUAAAGAGUGAUCUUUGGUGGAUCUGAGAUAUACAUAAAAACAAAACAAAAACAAAUCCAUAUGAAUUUGAAAUGGUGAAAGAUGGUGAAACUGCUUCUUAGGAAGUGGUUCUGGUGUUGGUUCUGUCCGUUUAAGAAGUUCACCUGUCCCAGCAUGAAUUUUGCAGUGUCAGCUUGCAGUUACCGGCUCUUUUUAUUGCUCUGUCUGCUCGAUUGAAGAGCUUUCCAUUUCUGUCUGUCUGAGCACAUCUGGAUUGUCAUUAAGCCAUCCCUUAACCUCCUCUUUGUUAAGCUAAGCGCACUGGGGUCCUUGAAUCUGUCACUAUAAGGCAUGUCUUGCAAUGCUUCCGUCAUUCUUGUGUGCCUCCUCGGAGCCCUCUCCCAUUCAUCAACAUCCUUCUUGAGCUGCAGACACCAGAAAUAGCUGCAGGGUCCCAGCAGAUGCUACACCAGAGGUAUUCCACUCUGCUAUUUGUUUGAGCUUCCAGCGCUGUGCUAUAGGAUCCCUCCUCCCCCUGAAUGCCAUGAAAUUCCAGUUCCCAAGUGUGGCUUUGUAUGUGCCUGUGUUGAACUGGGUGGUUUUUUCUUCAAUCUGACUCAGGAGAAGGCUGAUCCUCAGCCCCACCAUGAUCCAAAUCGAACUCAUCAGCGAACUUUGAUUGUAAUUAGUUUUGAUUUUCUACCAUUUUGCUAAAAGUGAUGAACUGAAACACAGCCACUUGUGAUGAGUGUCUGCACGCAGCCGUACAUUUAAACAUAUCAGUGGGGUUUUCAUCCGUUUAGUGCGUGCCGUGUUGAUUUUACAUUGUUUUAGCUUCCUAAUAAAUGAGACAACAUUAAGUCAAAUGCCUUGCAGAAGUCAAACGUAACAGUGUUGAUGAAAUGUACUAAAUCAAUCAAAUCUAUAAUCACAUUCUUGAAAAAUUAUAUCAAUUUCAUUUAAUAAGAUCUAUUUUCCAUUAACUCAUGUUGAUUGUAAUUAAUUAUUCUCCUUAAAUUGUUAUUAAUCAAGUCCCCUAUCAGCUCUUCCAUUAUUUCUCACAAAAUCAACAUCAGAUAAUCAGAUUUAUAAUUACGAGCGACAUUCCUACGCUGGCACAAAGUCAGCAGCACUCGGGUGUGCUGUGUUCUUGGAGUCCGGGGCACGAGUUGGAGCUGGAGGUAUUUCACACAGUCCUAUGACAUUGCUAAUUUACUUAGCUUUUCCCCCGAAAUUAGAGGAAUUAAAUAUUUAGUGUCUGCCUUCUAUGUAUUUUCUAUUUAUCAUCUGCUAUUCUGUCUAGACAACCACACUCAGCCACUGAUAUCUAAAAACCACAUCCCUACUGCUCUUGGCUCUGCAAGCAGAGGUCUCACCUGCUGGCCUUCUGCUUGCUGUUGGUUAACACAUUUUCCCUUUGUGUGAAGGUAGACCUCCCCUUCCUCCCCCCCGAGUCUCUGCUUUAACCAGAAUAACCUUCUCUCUCUGAGCGCUGAGAUUUCACUAGAUGCCCUAAAAGCCAGAGUGCUUUUAAACAACGAGUUGCCAAAUAUCACACACAUUUUCUCUUCAAAAUCCUCCAAGUGACCUGGCUUACAGUGUUGAAAAGAAAAAGUGUCUGCUAUCUGCUCAGGCUUCGUUCUGUCUGAGCCCUGCACAUAAGAUGGAAAUGGCAUCCCCUCUGUGUUGGCUGUAAGUGGUUUUUAGAGCUGCGAUCAGCUCUUCAGCUGUCAAGACCAUCCUGCAGAGAAUCCUCCUGAUUUUGGUUAACAACGGCAUUUAUAAAUUCCCAAAAUUGGCAACACAAGCCCUCCAGCUCACAGCAUUCAAGUUCAGGUUUUCCAAGACACUCUAUAGGAAUUUUCCUUAAAUGUUUCUGGUUUCUGGUGAGAUUUGAGCAGUGUCAUCCAUUGGCUUUUACUUGUACUUGAGGUCACUUUCUCUUGAGCUCCCAGUGACUUGGAUGGCAGCAAUGUCACUUCUGGUAUUGAUUGUCCCUCCUACACCUUCUUUGCCCACUCAGUUUCUUUUUUUUGCAAAUAGGUUCCAGCUAUUGAUUUUAAUAUUCCAGGCACAUGGAUUUUCUCCCCAAGUUUAAGUCAUGCUCUCCAGAUAGAAUUUGUACUCAUAAAUUAGUCGUUCCCACUCUUUUUUAUGGCUCAGCCUUCCUGCGCUACCGUAGAGGCAAUUAAAGUUCUUCUCCUCGCAUCCUUUCGUGUGUUCAUUAGCUCUCUCCUCAUCAUUUUCUUCCUUGAGCCAGAGACAGGGACGGGUGCGGAAUGAAUUCUGUUUCCUCAUUGCUUUCCAGUGCCUGUAUCUCCAACCCAGUCCAAGCAUCCCUCCCAGCAGAAAAGCUAGAGCCCAAAGAGCCAUUGGGAGCACCACAGCAGAAGGGAAAACCUUUGCUGAUCUCAGCACUGACAGGUUUUGGUGGCAAUGAGCUGAUGGUUGGACUAGAUGAUCUCAGUGGCCACUUCCAAAUUCUACAAUUCUAUGAUUUUGGGGUCAUCAUGGAUGUAGAAUGAUUCAAACUCCAUUGUGCAACAGUAUCUGAUCUCCCAAAUUCUCCUGGCAGCCAAUUCCCCAGCUCAGCCCUACUGCAACUGCUCCCCAGACACACUGAACCACAAGGAAAAGCCAUUUGGAUUGUGCUCUCUUGCUUUCAUGUCCAUGGGGGAUUUCCUGGGAUUUUGCAAGCCCCAGGGAUUGAGGGCAAAGCCAACAGAGAAGCAGACCUGUGCUUAGGGCACCUGCACAAGCUAGCCUGCAGGCUUACAGCUUCACUGUGGUUUGAGGUUUGAAGGUUUCCUAUCACCUGCUCAUCUCCUGCCUUUAUGUAACAACAAUAACAAAACACGCAAAAAUAUCCCUCAGAAAAUCCAACCGUCUUUGCUCUUGCAGGUCCUGAACUGUUUGCCUCUGAGGGCAGAACACAGACUUUGGAUGGUUUUGAGAAGUCUCCUGUCUGGGUGGUUUUAUUUAUAUCUGAUGCAUUUUAAUGCAGAAUGGGCAGAAAUGAGAUGCUUCAGAGCAAAGUCAAAGCAGAGCAGUUCUGCAGGUCCGGCCCUCGCUGGGCUCAGUGGUGGGAUGUGCUCAUCACCCCCUCUUCAAAAUAACCCCCCACGUCUCUUUUCAUCCAACAAAACAUUUAGGUGCAUAUCUGUGAGUGAAGGAGUACAAGAGAAGGAAGCAUAAGGCUGUAAAAUAAACACUCUACAAAAUGCCUCCAGGUUGCUCUAAAUUAUGCAUCCUUCCUGUUAGGAGAUGUUCAAGGUUGUCUUUUCCUGUGAACAGCGCUCCUCCUGGGUCCUCACCUUCAUUUGCUGGGAUGCCUCUGCUCUGGGCUUGCAGUUACGUCUCCUUCCCUUUCGCUGCCUUUACAACCAUUUCUUUGCCGCCUUUUAUAAUUCAGAACACGACAAAUGAAUUCCCACCUCAGCUCAGCACUCAGAUGAUGGGAAAGGGAUAAACGGUCCCUGGUAGCAGCUCAGUGCACGGUGAGCAUCACUGCAGCCCCGUGCGGUGCUUUUUCCCUGCGCACAUGCAGGACAGACGGGCGCAGGAGUGGAGCGAUGCUCACAGCCCCAGUCCCUGGUGCAGAGCUGGGAGCAUCAGUGGGGCAAACCGUGGCCAAAAACACACGGACUCUUCUGGGAAACGGCCCAACCCUCUCAUUUCUGUAAUGUGAUUGGCACAUGGCUUGGUUUUGCGUUCUGUUUCUAAAGGAUAGCUGCUAUUCUUUUUAUUAAAACCUUUAAAUUUCAUUAGUUUGCACUUACCAAAAUAAACCUGGCAUCACUAGUGAGCUCUCCUGCGGCCGUGCCAUCGAUCUGAUGCAGCCCCGCGUCACACCUGGCACGGUGACAGCCGCGUCCCUCCAUGCUGAACAGAGGCACCCGCUCUGCCUGGAGGCUGAGAGGCAUUUUCAUGGAGUUCUGUGAUGAGGAACUUUUUGCUUCCAAGGUUUCAAGGGGGAAAAAAAGAAAAAAAAAAAAAAAAAAAAAAAAAGAGAGAGAGAGAGAGAGGUUGAUUGUAAAUUUAAUUCCUGUAUCUUAGUCAUUUCUGGGCCAUGGGUCAUUAGGCACACAUUAGUGCUGCUGGGCAUUUUUCACAGGGGCUGCACCAGCAGAAAGGAGCUGGGUUUUGCAAAGCCAAGGGUGUGAGAGAGAUCCGUGUGCAUGAGAAAGCUCAGUCCUGUGCUCAGCCCCGCAGUGCUGGGAAGUUCCCCCAAAUACUCCCGGUGUCCGUCUGUCCGCAGCCAUGACAAACAGCCCGGGGAAGCAGGCUCCUUUAAUGGGCUCCAGCAUUUUAUUUAUAGCCCCUUCGAAUAAGUGCAGCUGAUACUUAAGAUCGGCGGAUUUAAUGACAGCGAGCUGGCGAAAGGCCAGGGCUGCAAAUAGCGCCGCUAAAAGUCUUCUCCGCUAUAAAAUUUGUUUAAUGCAAGAAAUCAUCCCGUGCAGGGUUUUUGCCUGGCAUUUUUAUAAUUAGCGGGUGAAAUCGCCAUUUCGCCCCUACGAUCCGCCAGCACUUUAUGGGAUGGGGCUGCCUUGGAGAUGGAUUGUUGUGCUGGAAGAGGCGCUGAAGCUUUGCCACUCCGUAUCAUCCCACUCUUCCUCGGGGACACCCAUGUAUGCCCACUCCCAGCACCUUUCCCUUCCCUCCAGGUGUCAUCUCUCCGAGGUUUGACCAAGAGCCCAUCACACUAAGUGGUAAGGCAGCACGGCUGGGAGCUGGGACCUUUGGGAUCUGUAGACAUGCACUGAAGCCACCACACUUGGUUGGUGUUUGAUAACUUCGCCGCUUUUCACUAAGGAGCCCUCAGAGAUUUCGGCCCAGCUCUCUCCUGUACAAAGAUGAACCAUGGGUGAGCCCCGGCCAGCUCUGUGAUUUAGAUUUCCCAUCGCUUGUCUGCGAGCUGGGCUGAUAUUUAUGGACAUGCUCUGGAUCGGAGGUAAAAUGCUGCAUCUUUCAUGGAAGCUGUGAGAGGUAAUUAGUAUCUGUCCUGUGGGAUGGGGCUUAAUGUUGAGACUCUUCAGGAGGGCUCUCGGUGUUCAAAGACUUAGCACCUUGCUGAACUGGGAUCUGAAUUCACAGGAUGCAUUAAAGCAUAAUUUAAGGAUGAAAAAAGGUGGAGGAAAGAUAAUAAUUAGGUGGAUUGUGCCCUUGUGAGACACCGCAUCCCUAUUUCCAAGUAAAAACUGCGUGUAAGAGAGGCACUGUGCUGGCUGCAGGUGUCUCCAGACCUUGAAAGGUCUUGGAACAAAACUCCUGGAGGGCUGACCCCCAUGGGACUGAGACUUGCAGCUUGAGAUCCCUCAUUUCAGGUCAUGGCUCCUUCUGCUUCUCUUAGCGAAUGUCAUAAAUACAGAGGCUUUGCCCCAAAAUUAUAUGCACAGAAAUGGAGGACUAUUUGAGGGCGUGAAAUAACCUGAGUUUUUCUGGCCCAGACGACUAAUUGCACAUUAUUCACCCAGUUCUGGUAGGGUGUCCGUUUUGCUGGACUAAACCCCAUCAUAUAAUAACCUCUUAGCCUACUGGGCUCAUCUCCAGAGCUCAAAGCUCUUCCGUUUCCUUGCCUCUCUUCUACCACUUAUUUAAUUUAUUUCCCAAAAAAUACUGAAAUAAAAGGAUUUUUAAACCAGAAUAGGACAGGACUCUUUCUUUGCAGUGCACAGUUUGCUGGGUAUGGAUGGAGAACCUGAACUAUUGUCAAGAAUGCCACUCAAAUUACAAUAUAAUUGUCUGGGGAAAAAAAAAAAGUUCUGGCAGCUAAUUCUGAUUGCAGUGCACAUUUCUGUGCCUGUGACAAAUGAUUUCUAAAGUUAGCCUCAAGGACACCGAGCUUCCAAGAGGUCACCCAUCCACACUGUUUAUUUUACUUGCCAUCCUAAAAUAAGUUUUAAAAAGUGAAAUUAACAGCGAAGGGAAAGAAGGAAGAAAACUGUUGAUGGUGGGGAGAAGAUUGAAGUGUUUUGUUUUAAAAGGAGCGAUGCUCGGGGCCAUAAAAUAUGAAAUACAGGGGGGGAAGCAGAUUUGGGGCUAACCUACAAUAUCGCAUUAGGCUUUAAAGCCGUUCCAACAGACUAAGCAUUUGAGAAAGAAUUGGAGCUGCUUGUGAUAAGUUGCUCCUCUUAUCGGCAAACUGUCAUCUGUCUUGGGAGAGAACAUUUUGUCCACCCUACCAAAACAAGUCAGAAAAAUUGGAUAAAAACAAAAAUAUAAAUCAGAAUGGGAACUGGGAGCCGAACUGAAAUGAUGGCAAUUUCCUGGCAAGGCUCGCUGGACGGCUAAAUGUCAGACGUGACAGCAGGAAUUAUCCCUGCGAUGCGGGGUCAGGAGCGAUGUGUGCGGGUGGUGGGCAGAGCACGGCCACUGCGGGACACGGCCUCAGGUUGGGAGGGCUGUGCAUGGGGUGGCACAGGGGUCUCAGGGGAAGCAAAAUAUGCAGGGGACAUGGGCACAGUGUGGAGGCAGCCCCUUGGAAUCUGAGCUGAGAGGCGAGGUGGGCUAUCCAUAACUGCCCGAGCAUUGAUUGGCGGUGCUGGCACUGCCCAGAGCUUGGGGUGUGCAUCAGAAUGAGAAGGGAAGCAGCAGGGCCCUGGGACAUCACCAUGGGGAUGGUGGGAUCCAAACCUGCCCUGCCCCACAGAUGUGCCUGAGUGCUUUUCUCCUUCACUGAAUGCCAUUGUCCCCCAGCAGCAGCCAGGCUGAUAUCACCGGAGGCAAGACCUGAAUCAGACGCGGAGAAAUCAGCUAUUUAAAUGCACCGGAGUUGCUGCGCUCCCAUUAAACCCCAAGAAACCCAAUUGCAGUUUGGAGAUAGAGGUACAGCGAGAGGAGGUGUGGGACACACUUCUGCACAGUCACCUAAUGGGAAAAGACAGAGCCUGGGCAGAAGUGAGUGAUAAAGGAAUGGCGAUGUCCAAGGCUUGCACAGCUCAGUGCUGCAGCAGCACCUAUGAGAGCAAGCAAAGGAAGAGAUGCUGUCUCUGGCAAGGGAGCAGCUGAAGAACUGCUGUCCUGUACUUUAGAUUUGAAAAGUAUAUAUAGUUUUAAUUAUUAAUGACACAUCAGUUUGAUACACGUGACAAUGAGGCAGCAGAGAUGCUCCAUAGUUUUGCAUGGGGUUUGUGGCUGCUCGUGCAAACCCACAUGAACGAGCAAUAUCCGAGCCUUUGCUUCAGCUCAGCUCAGAGCAAAGUGUCCCAGCACACAGGACUGCCUUGCCAGGUGCUGACAGCCCUCCCGCAUGCACACAACCAGUGCCUUGCUCAGAAAGACUGGAGGAGGGGGAGUGGAAUGAGGGUCAGCAAUUUGCUCCCUGUUGGAAAUAUCCCAACAGCAAGGAUAUCGAAGCUGACCUUUAAGCAGAAGCUGACGAAAAGCUGCUACAAAUUAAUCUCUUAACAUUUUAAUUUAAUGCACGUUUUGUUCCAAGAACAGGGGUGACCCAGGAAAGGGUUAAUCCGAGCUGUGCACCUAGCACAUCCACACCAGAUUUGCAGCAGUGUGGGUAUAUACAUGCAUUUCUAUCACAUACACAGGUAUUUCUUUAUCAGAGGCAUGUGGGCUGGACAGCAGAUGGGCUCUCCUCUCACCACGGUGGGGUGUGGGAUGCCACACAAAUUCCAUCAGGGCGACCUGCAGCCCAUCAGCAUUGCAGCAUCACAGGGAGCCCCAUGGGAGCAGGGACACUUCCCAGCAUCACUCAGAGCCACUUCAUUGGCUUCUUUAUUUUUAUUCUUUUUCAUGUUGUGAUGCCCUAACGUCAUUGUUGGUGGGAAAGAGCUGAAAAACAGACAGGUUCUGACCAGUCCCUCUCUGCCACCAGUCUCACAGCAUAACCGAACUGCUUUAGUUGCACUUAAUUGUGCUGUUUGUUUGUUUCCAUGUUGUCAUCAGACAAUAAAUCCAAAGCAAUCACUGUCCAAAUUUUUACAGUAUUCCCAAAGGGAAUGUCAAUUACCUUUCCCUCCCAGCACCGCUGACCUCUGCCACAUACAAAUCCCACUUUUAUUCGGAGAAAUGCAGCCACUUGCUCCAAUUAUUCAGCCUGCACUCUGAGGUGAGCAUAAAAAAAGAGUGUUCAGCAGGUACAUCCAGAAAGGGCUGGCUUAAAUCAGUAUGGCUGUGACCCAAGGCAUGAAAUACAGCCCCUCACACACAGCCUAUGUGUACGGAAGGUUAGCUGGAGGAGUGGGACGUUGCUUCAAAACAACCCUGGAGGCCUCAGUUUGUGUGAAAUCUCCAUCUGAGGGAUUACUUCUGUUGCUGAGGAUUUGCCUGUAGAAAACCUUGCCAUGACCCUUGGGUCAGGGGCAGCCUCGGAGCCCAUCAAGGGAUGCAGGAGGGAUGGUGAAGUGGCACCCUCAGUUUCCAAAGGGGAAAUGCAGUUUGGGACAGGAGGAGGGUGGAGGAGAGAAGGCUUCCUCCUCUUGCUCUUCGUUUCCUGCAGGGCCCAGGGGACCUCCUGGUGGGGCAUGACACAGGGAAUUGCCCAGGGAAGGAAUAGCUUCAGGUGAUGUUCCUCUCAGCAGCUGCCCUCCUCGUGCUUCACAUCGCUCCAUCCCUGCCUGGCCUUCUCUGUGUGCUGCCAAGCUUCCUCCGCAUUUAGAUGCCAGCCCACCUCUAUUCUCCACCCAUCUCCUUGGAUCAGCCACCUCAACCACAGAGCCCUGUCAGGGUGCCAGCAGGUGCAGGUUGGUGGAUGGAUUGGUGAUGGGCUUGAGAGUGGAUACGAGGGAUGCCUUUCAGGAGCAUAUCCACACAUCUUGUGUCUGGAGGGCAGCCCCAGUGUGCUGAGGACCCUUCCUCAGCUCUGAGUGCUGUGCUAUUUGAGAAUCUGAAAUCUCACUGUGCUCUUCUCUACCAUCCUCUCUUUGUGUCUCCUCUCAGGACCUCCCCAUGGCAGUGGGCAGCAUCACCACCCCAUCCCUGGACAGCCACGAGCCACACAGGAUUUCUGCCUGAAUUAACCUUCAUUAUUCAAAUCCCACCCAGAACACGGGUAGUGGUACCGACUCAGUAAGAUGAGAAUGCUUUUGUAGAAACGUCCCUGCCAAGAGCAAGUUACCCUUGGGCAGGGAGAUAGGGUUUUGUGAUUGCAGUUUUUUGUAUGGAUGAUGUCCUUGCCUGUCUCAGAGAGGCUCACUGUAAAGGCUCAGAGGUUGGGUGCCAUUGCUCUGCAGUACAUGGGCAUGUCCAACCCACAGCCCCACGAGCUGCAGAUAGAUGAGGAGGGUAAUGUAAUUCCAUCUUUGGAAAUGUCAGACUUUAUGGAUGAAUAAAAUACAUUCCAUUUUCUUCUGUUUAUCAAUAUCGGGUGAGAACAGACUAGAAAUUGCUUAUAAAUGGAUAGCAUCAGGAGAGAGGCCAUCUAUUUGUUAUCUAUAGCAGAAGCUGAGCACUGAUCCUACUGUGGCAGCCACAGGUCAUAGAAUCAAAGAAUCACAGAAUAUCCUGAGUCAGAAGGGACCCAUGAGGAUCACUGAGUCCAGCCCCAUCACCUCUGCAUAGAAUACAAUAAAUGACUAAAAUAGAAAAGCGAGGCAUGGAUAGAAGAAAGAGCAACGUCGGGUUCUCCUCCGUUCAGCCAAUAAUUCUGACUACACAGUGUUUAACGUUUGGUGAUGCCAUGUACUGGUUUUUCCAUAAGAUGGUCUCAAAGCCGCUGUGUGCUCUGAGUUUCGAUGGGAAAUCCACGGUGCCAUGUGAGGGUGGGCUCCCCAGAGCUCCAUGGGGUGUGCAGGAGGGAUACAGUCCCCAACAGCACCAUAACGGUUAAAGGAGAGAUUUCAGGAAGGGGAACAGAACAGCAGAGAGUGAACUUUGCAGAUAAAUUAUAGCUAAAGAGGAAUGAAACAUUAUAGUUUCAAUUACUGCUGUGCCCAGCCACGCAGGUAGUAAUUCAAACAAGAAACAAUUGGCGGAUUGUCACCCUCAAAUCAGACACAUACCAUUUAAUUCCAUUUACUGAGGGUUCACUGACUGUAUUUUGAAUCAAAUACAGCCAUUAAUGUGCAAAGAUCUGAAAAAUGCAUGUGUCCCUUUUACAAAUGUGACAAUGAGACGCUAAUUCCUGUAAAGCCCUUUUUUCUUCAGGUUGGACUGCUCCUAUUGCCUUUAGUUAUGCAGAUAUUACUUAUUAAGAGUUUUAAUAUGUCAGGCUGGUUCUUUUGAAAUGCCUUGUGCCUUUUUGUUCAGAGCGUGCGGAAAGCGCAGCUAAAUCCAUUCUUACGUUCCAUCAUCCAAACUUAGCAAAUUGAUUCGAAUGCAGGAAAAAAAAAAGCUACUUUCAUUAAAACAAUUAAAUCCUUACUAUUAUUGCUGUAUCUGGCUAUUACAGCACAAAUAUAAAUCAUCGGUUACAGGAGCUAAAAGCUUUCAGCUGGAAUUGCUCUACCGUCUGCCCCAUGCCAUGGGCAGGGAGGAAGGAUGACGUGCACCAGGCUUCUUUACGGGAGAUGCUGCUGCCUAAAUAAAAAAGUCAAGUCCAUAAAGUGAAUAUUAUUGUGCUACCUUGUUUCUCCCCAGCAGUGAAGCAAUGCAUGCCAAUGGGCAGAGCGAAUAGGAGGAAAUAGUUGGGUUGGUUUUCCCGCUCCUCGUGAAUUGGGGGACAUUUUGGAAGGGGCACAAAGGUUUCGGGGGCAGUUGAGUGCUUUUGUUUUCCUUUUCUAAAUAAACCACGGAUCUGCACUGCCACACACUCCCCGUGGGGUCACGAAGUGUGCUGCAGAAUAAAAACGGAGCUUUCUGUGAUAGUGCACUUGCCCUUCAGAGCCGCUUGGAUUGCAUCAAAGGGCAAAUUGUUUAAAUAUAAUUUUCCUGAUUACUGAAUAGGUCGACCGAACAGGAUAUGAAAUGCAAAGGCUUUUCUCAUCUUGCUCUUUGCAUCAUCCUAGGGCACACCUCGCUACAGGUGCUGCCUGUUGGCUCAAGGACACUUCCAGGCGGCAGAAUAUCAAAGGAGCAGGGAUGGACAGCCCAGUGCAUCCUGCACAUUUUAAAUUGCUUAAAAAGACUCUUUUGCAAAGGGAGUCUGAGGCAGGGACCGAAAUCAGUGCUCAGCAUGUGGAUUAGACAAACAGAGUGGUCAUUAGCGCUGAUUGUCAUUGUCACACAAGCACAGACUGUUAAUUCAGCCCAGGAGUCAUUAGAAACGAGCCUCAGCGGGGAGAGGGGUUGGUGUUGGUGUAGAUGCUGGAUGGUGGCUCUGCUGGCUUGGCAGAACAUGAAGGAGACCCCUGAGAUCCUACACUGCUCCGGUUGUAAAUUCCAAAUGGAAACUCCCAGGAAUUUGCCAGGAAAAGGAUAAUCACUCAUUAUUCUCAUUUGUGGAAAGCUGUUUAAACCCAGCCCUGCUUUUCUCACCCCAUUCCCAAGCUGAGCUCAUCACCUUUCUGAGAAGCCACGCUCUUCCAGGACAGUGUCUCCUCUUCCAGUGAGCUUUUGCCCUGGCUUUUCUCCUGGGUCCAUUUGGGAGGGUUCCAUCUUUGCCCCAGUGCUUUUGCCAGUGGCUGCCACCAUCCAGAGAGAUAUUCAGCCUCAAGGAGUCCCCAGCAAAGAGCACCCACUGCCUUCCAGCCUCACCCCAGCAGCAGCGUUGAGGUCCCACAGCUGCAGAGCAGCGCCCGUUGUGCUGUGCGGGUGCCCCUUUAUUGGAGUUCCUCCCACCACGUGCUUGUAAUUUAUUUGUAUUUCCAGCAGAGAUAAUUGAGUUAUCAAUUCUGUGCUCUUUUGGGCCAGAAGCAAAGAGAUCAGAGAGCUGUUUUAUACACCUAAUUAUAGAUUAUUUCCCAUAGCUAUAAAACCACAGAGGGACAGAUCCAGAGAGCAUCCUUUUCAUCUCCACUGACUUUUGCCUUUGCUCUCUCAGACUCGGAUCAGAAGGGCCUCCAGACAAAACAGUUGUCAAAAGCAAGGGCUCCUUAUCUCCUCACAGGACAAAACCUCUCGGCAUCCCAGUAGAGACCGUGCACAGUUGCUUAAAGAUCAAAUUCAACUUAUACUUAACCAAUCUGCUUAAGCCUUUAGCACCUCAUUGAGUCGUGCUGAGAUUUAUUCCGUUUCUGCACACUUUGGCUAUAAUCUGGUUCAUGACAAUGGCCUGGGGGUCUGCUGAGGAUGUAAAAAAUUGAUUUUCUUUGCCACAUGCAGGCUUUGUGGGCUUGCAUUUGGCAUGGCCCCUCAUGCCCCUGCUAGCUCCUAUGCUCAGCCUGCUCCCUCCUCCCCAGGCAGCUCUGAGCACCCUGCAGCAUCCGCAGAUCCCGCAGAGCUGCAGUGCAGAGCAGGGGUUGAGGUCCGGCAUACCCGAAUUUUCUAUGUAUGGAAAGAAAUGGGAAGUGUCCGUGCGUCGGUGUUAAGUUUCUGGUGGUGACACGCAGAGGCCAUCCGAGAUGUAUGACCUAGCAAAUGUAUUGUAACGCACACAUCACAUUCGUUCUCUGGGUAAAUAGAUAUUGUCUAGGGUACAUUACAUCUGUGCCUUCGUGUUUAAUUUAAUGUAAGUGAACUGCCUUAAUUUCUCCAAAUUGUAGUAAUAAACAUAACGUUAACGGUGAUACUGCUAAUAAUUUAUUUUGCAAGCGAUUAAUCAACAACAAACUCUUUUAAUUACCUGUUCUGAAAUGUCAAACUCUAAACUAAUUACAUGUUAUUACAUGAAUUCAUGUAUAUGUAUACACAAAUACGAAUUCCAAGGGUAAUUAAAAUGAAUAAACCAUCAGAUUUGGUAAAAUCAUGCAGCUGAGAGAAGUUUGCUCUCCACUGCAUUUCUGCCUCUUUGCAUUUCAUCCUCAGCACAAAGGGAGCUAGAUUCCAAGGCUCUGAGCGAGUCGUUUGUGCUUCUGCAAAAAAAUAUUACCCACAGAAAGUGGCAAACCCCGUGGGAUCUAUGCUGAGAACCACAAGGAAGAGAGGAAAGCAGCUGUGCUGCUCUGCUGGGGGGAGUACAGAGUGUGGGGCUCAUUUGGGUGCUCCCUGUGCAGGGGGUGAAACCAAGCAGGACAGAAGUGGGUGGUGUACAUUUGCUGUACUCAAUAAUUGGCAACGAUUUUUGGAAGGAGAUUGGGGGUGAAAUUAACAGAUUUGGGGCACGACCAAAUCUGUUCUCCAUUUUGUGUCCUUGUUGAGUCUCUCAGUGCAGGCACAACACAGUGCUCUUUGCAACACCCUGGUGACCCCUAGAUGAGACUUGGAAGACCACUUCUUUGCACUGGCACUCCAGACAUCAUGGCCAAGUGCCCCCAGCAAUGUGGGGCUGUAUGCCAGUGGGUCACGAAAGGAUGGAGACCACCAGCUUGGAGGGUCUGGGAAUGAAGCCUUUAAUUCAGGGGUGGACACUGAGGCAGUCCCAAUGGCUUGCAGCAUGGGCUGGAAGAACAGGAUGAUUAAUGAGAGCAAUGGCACGAAGGAGCCAGGAACUAAGUAAUGAGACCUUUAUUUGAUACAUAAUACAGCCGGGGCCCUCUAUAAAGAGAAUACCAAGAGUAGGGCUAAGUUUCACAGUUCUGGGAAUGUAUCAGGAAGGGGGAAAGCUUUGCUGACUUUGCAGCCAAACGCCUGGGCCAUCCGCAAGUGUUGUUCGCAGUGAGCUUGGGACAUGUUAAUUUGGUCAUAUAUCUUCAGAUGGUGGCAAGAUGCCCUGACUUUUGAUUUACUGUGCUGAGUGGGUCUGUGUGAUGUUGUGGGUUUAAAAUGAGGUGUCCAGAGCCUGAUUCAGUCACAGGAUCACUGAAUUCCAGCUGGGAGAUGAAGAAGCCGUUAUACACACACAACAAGAACUUCCAGCCAAAAAUUACUUAUGGUUUCAAUUAAAGGAGAAGAAGUUGCUGAUUGUUUAGGUAUGGAUGUCAGAAACACAGCAGUUAACAGCAGAGAUGAAUGAGAGAUAGUGAGGUGAUAACUUAGAUAAAUUGGUAUCUCAUCCAUAUUAAGGAGACAGCUCAUCCUCUGGUGCUGCUGGAUGACAUGAAGAGUGGAGUGUAUAUGGAUACUAAAAAACGUUGGUCUUAAAGUUAAAUCCCCAAGAACCAUCAGAAAUAAGUCUCAGAAGCCAAAGUGAGAUCUGAUGCACGCUGCAAAAAUAUGCAGUCUGUCAGGGAACGCUGCUCUCUCCAUAUAACUUCCACCGUUUGUGGGACAAUUAUAGAGAAAAUGAUACUGUGAUCUGUAAAGCAGUUCCUGCAGUGGUUUUAUUCACUAACUCGAUGCCACGCAUAAUCAUAGCCAGUAACAUCUCCAGAGGUGUGUGCAUAAUAGAGAGACAUCAAGUCAAUGAGUCAAAACAUCAGAAAAUAAAAUUCAGAUGAACAUCACUUGCAGAAAUUCUAUCAUCUGUCAUUUAACGCUGUCUGAAGACCUCCACGUUGAAAUAAGGCGUGGAAACCAGAAGUUACCCCAGGCAGCAGUCCUUAGGACCUGCACGGACUCAGGGCUUUCUGCAAGUUGGGUUGAGUGCCAAAGAAGUUCUCUUGCGAUCUUAAAACUCAAGCACCCAAAAAACACCAUAGAGGGGAAGGCAGGGAGCAGGGAGGAUCUGUCCUGCCGUGUCCCCACCUCAGAUCCUGCCCAGCAUCACCCAAGCAGCCGCUGCUGGGAGCGGAGUUGCUCCUGGAUCACCUUAAGGCUAUUUGCAGCUCUUGCUGAUGCCCUUUCAAUACCCAAUCCCGAAACUUUUCAUGCGAGGAAGCUUGCAGGAUGACAGAUUGCACCUUAAAACAAAGAGGUAAUAGCUCUUAGGUCCAGAUCUGUUCUUGGAACUAAAUUCACUGCAGAAGAAGUGUUUCUGCACAACUGCAUAAUGCCUCAAAGUGGCAUUUUACAAUCUUUAAAUUCCAACACCGAUGAAGAAUUCUGCUUUAAACUACUGCAGCAGCCCAGCCCCCCUUUAUUUAUGAGUAAUAGGCUUUUCAUUUAGAUUUAACUACAGAUUCGAGUGGUUUCCAUGUGCCAGGGCUCGGAGUCACACCAGUGUCUCCUGAGGUGGCCGUGCUGUUUCCACAGAGUCACUCAGGAUCCCCACCAAACCUGUCUUUGCAUACAUACGUGUGUAUUUUAUAUAGAUGUACACAUGCACUUCAUUUUUAAAAAGACAAAGUUUUUAUUCCAGGCUUCAUUUUCCUUUAAACCGUAUGAAGCCAAAGUUCGAAAGGAUGACCCCAAAAUUGCCAGUUUGAUUGUAAUUUCCCCCAAAAGAUUUUGGGUUGUAGGUACAUAGAGAACGAUGGCUUUGCUUCCCCCUUUCUGCUCAUCAUCCCAUGCAACGCUGAUGUGCCAGGAAGCGUGGAUGGGAUCAGGGAGCUUGGUGAGUUUGCCACAUCAGUAGUCACUGAGAGUGCCUGAAGUUUCAUUUUUCAAUGGAAAGCUGCAGUGAAACGAGUAUUUUGCUACUCAUCUUGUUAUUAUUCAUCAGUGCUUCCAAGCACCUCUCAGCCCUUUGUUUCUUGGGAAAGGCAUGGUGCUUAAAGGGGCUGAAAGGUGGAUUUUGUGGAAAGCCCAACCCACAUCUUUGAUCCCAGCGGUUUUGUAAAGCAUUCGUUUUGCUCGCUGGGAAAAUCUCUGCCCUCCCCACUCCCUCACCUCCCCCUCUUUCCCCUCCACCUAAGUUACCUCGUCUGGAUCCGAAGGAACGCUUGCCAUCCUUUGAAGAGGUAGUCUCGUCCGAAAAAUCAAUAGUCAACAUUGUCUUUAAAUAGUCUGACAUUUACCUUUACAGCAGUUUUCAUUUCUUUCCCAGAUUGCUCAGACGUUUGUAUUACCCACACACUACAUCCCUGAUCUCUCGGCCGGGAGCUUUGCACGGAUGCAGCCCCGGUGCUGCAGAGCGGCCACCAGCAAGGAACUGCAGCACGAUAAUUAACAGGACGGGAGCUCACUAAUAGAAGCAUCUUUAACUAAUUUAUGGAAGACAUCAGGUGAGAAUAAUUACAAGCAGAAGGGUAUUGUAAAUCCCUGAAGAAAAUACACUUGGAAUGCAGUUUUCCCAACAAGCAAAUCUGAAUGCUAGCCCAAAGGUCAGAAAUAAAAAGGCUGAGAGCUUCAGCUCCCCGAGCAGGCACCUCUCCGAUCCCUUCUUGUCAAGAAAUUGUCUGGGGGUUCAUUUAGAAAGCUGCUUGUUCAGGGCAGGGCCAUUUGCAAUCUGGGAAAGUUAAGCAAAUUAGCAGAAUUAUUAGGUAAGAGGCAAUUCUCCACAGCCUGCAAGGCAACCGCUUGUUAAAUGAGCUCACACCAGAGAGUUGCACUGAUCGAGUGGUGUUUGCAGAGACGGGGCUGUGCAGGCAUUUGCUCUGAAAUAAUACUGCUGUAUUCCCCUGGAAAAAUUAAAAAAAAAUGGGAAUUUGUGCAGGCUGAGCUGGAAGAUGCCUCUGUCUUCCAUACGCAUUCCUGCUUCUCUGCUCCUUCUGCUAUAAUAAAUAUCAUAAUCCUAGCAAAUGAGAGAAGGAGAUUAACCCGACACCUUUAACCCAGUUACUGCUUAAAAUAGGGAGCAGUGUGGUGCCACGAGGCCCCAAAGCAGGUGGCUCUGCACCCGCUGUCCCCUGGGGCUCAUAGGGACAGCUGUGCACUGCAGCCCCGCUGCUCUGUGCAGUGUUGGGAGUGGGAUCCAACUCAGGUCCUGCAAGGAGCCCACCCAAGGGUGGCUCACACUGCUCACUUGUUUUUAUAUACUCUUUGCCUAUUGAUUUGAUAUUUUUAUACCUUAUACAGUGCACUUAGCACAGAAAAAAAAAAAUGGAUUAACCAAGUAAAUGUGCUUUAUUAGCGGAUCUCUGAUGGAGAAUGAUGUCGGUUUUCCAUUUAAAAGAUGCAUCGGAUUCAUCCACUCAUGAAUCAAUUAGUUCAUGCUUGAGGACCUCCUAACAUGCCACAUAAAAAACUCCCAAUGUCAAACUGCACGCUGGGUGGAACAACCAAGGGUUUCAAAUGAAAAAAGUGCAUCACUGGGAAACCUUUGGCUCUUCCACCACCACUAGGAUGGAAGCACUCUGCCCAACUCUUAGUUAACACAUUCUUUCUGUUCCUUGGUUUCUUAAAAUCUUUCUUUUUUUCAAGUUUUUAUUGACAGCUUUACACUCCUCCCUCUGCUAUACAAUGGAGACGGGCACAUAUCGUAAGCCUUUCCAAUGGUAGUUUUGGGGUCAGGCUGAUUAGAUUUGGGAAGUGUCAAUUGUUGAAUGCUGUCCUCCUUCUGUCUGAGACUAACAACUCUCCCUACUCAGAGGGUUGGCCCUCUUUCUGUCCUUCCUGAGGUUUAGGGCUCAUUGGUCCAUGCUCCACACCAUGAAAAGGCACAUACACUUUCCUAGUGAUUCACAUUUCUGCUUAGAUAAGAACCAACAGGCUCCAUCCCACCCUGGAGCCCCUGGGACUAUGUGGAAGGUCGCAGUGUUUAUUUUUGGUCUUGUCCAAUUAAAGACAAUGACCUGGAGUAGAUGAGAUGCCUGGGCAUGCAUUCAUAUCACAGGCAUAAUGCAAGAACCGUAGGCAUUUAAAUGGGAAUUCUUUCUCACCCGGUUAGACCGAUGCGUAAGGAAAUAAUCCAAGUGGGGCAUUGACAAGAUAUUUUUUGUUGUAAGUCUGCAUGCUAAAACCCCUAAAUAAAAGGAUUUUACUCCUUGAGAGAAAGAGGAAAGGCUAUGCACACCCAGCCUGAGGUGUCACUACAACUCAAUGGGAGCAAUGCACGAGCACUGAGCUGCUGGGAUGGCUGCCUGCACAUUGGGUGCCCACACUAUGUACAGAGCAGAGGGCACUGCUUAAACCUCAGUCAAAUAAGUAAACAUGGACAAGGAAGUAAAAACAGACGCACUUUUUUCUCAUUGCUGCGAAGAAUUCAGGCCAUGCAAGCACCAGGGCUGUGCAAAGAAGAGCAACUAUGUUUAAGAGCAUCCUUCUCUCUCUUGGAUGUACAUCCAACAGCAGAUAACAUCACCCAGCCCUUUCUGCUUUUGGAAACCAUGUGCAGCACAACUUGCUGCUCACAUUUAAUCCAAACUGAUGUCCUACGGCUGUCAUAUGCAUGAUUAUGGCAGUCGUUUUUAAUUAGUGAUUGUGUCAAUAGUAUUGACAUUUUCAUCACUUUUGGGGGAAGUAGAGAAUAUUUUCCAGCAGGUGAAGUCCCCUCUUUGCAGUUCUCUUCCCCUCCAGCUGCACCUACUGGAUAAAUGAGCUAUGCAUCUUAUUAAAAAGAAAGCAAGAGCAUUAAGUCUGUUCUCUGCUUAAGUACAUUACAGCAACUUAGGCAACACGAAACUCAAGAAAGGCAGAAAAGCAAAUACCCUCUGUCCUAUGGCAAGAUUUACAAUCUUGUUCUGAGUGCAAUAUUUAUUAUACGGCUUAACAGAAGCUCUGGCAGGAUGGGGGAAAUGCUGGCGGCCCCGUGACAAGGAGGAGGCGUUCAAUAGCUUGCUGGGAAGUGGAGUUGGACACGAACUGAUCAACCAGCCAUUACACUCAGUGAUAAACACCCUGCAGGAGCCAUCAUUCACCCAGGAAGAAAGAGGAAGGCAGAUCAUUACAUUUAUUGGUCAUAGUUUUUAAAGAGUCAAUAAAGACCCACUAGAAAAGACACGGUUAGGAGCAGGAAUAUAUAUAUUUUUUUCAUGUAUCUUGAAAAUACCUUCAGCUCAGUUUGCUUUCUGCCCAAUACGUCAGGGUGAAUCUUCAUCCUAGGUGAUGGUCCCAGUGUAGACGGUGCUCAUAUUGUACAGUUUUUAAUGUCUUUAACCAUCUUUAGCUUUGUACCCUGAUAGCCCCUCCAGGCUAUAUGUCAAUGCCAUCUGGGAGUAAAAGAAGAGACUUCUGCUCAAGUAACGCUGUAAUGUAGAUCUCUCGACUAAAAUUGCACUUCCUUCACUUGACAAACUGUCAGCACAGAACAAUUAUCUGCCUGUUGGUUUGCUUGUCUUUUCUUUUUUUCUCCUCUCAGAAAAAAGAAAAAAAAAGAAAAAAGAAGAAGAAAAAAAAAACCAUACAAAGGAAAAGGACCUGCAGAGUAAAAUGCCGUGGGCAAAAUCCACAUAAUCUGAUUGCUGCGCCCAGAGAUGCAUUGGUGGACCACCAAAGGUAAAAGUGGGUCUAAUGCUAAAGGAGAGGGACAAUUUCUAGCUCCUUUCUUUCGGGGAUUUCCAGAGAGGAUAUUGCUAAAUAGAAGAUUAGGGAGGAAGAGGCAAGAGUCAUUAGACCCCUCUGCUUGUCUUGAGGGAGAAACCAAAACAGGCUGGAAGAGUCCAAAGCUUGUGUCCUGCUCAACAAGCUGAAGGAACCAUUUGAUUUUUCUCUCCUGGUAAGAAAGGAUGAGGAUGAUGUCUUUAGGGAAGAGAGCCAACCUGAUUUUUUGCUAGCCAUCUUGGUGUUAAUGGGACCGUGCAGUUCAUUUGGAGAAUACCCACAAAGCAUGAGUAGAGCCCCAAGAGGUGUAAUCUAAAUUAGUGGGUAAAUUUAUUUGUGCACUUUUUUUUUACUGUUUUAUUUUCCUUCUUCCCUUCUGUACCACCUCUUUUGCCACCUCCUCUGCCUCACUUGACAGAUGAAUGUGUUCAGGUCUUUGGGACAGAUAAUGUGUCUGUAUCCCUUUUAAAAGUCCUGUACAAACACUAUGGAUAUGAGAGUGCAGGUGUAUUUAGUCUGGUGUGUUUAGCAGAUUUAGAUUAUGAAUUACUGCUCAAAAUAACGUUUGCAUUUGCUGACAAAGGUCUUUAUUACAGAAGAGGUCAAGAAAAAAAGAUUAUUCCUGCUAAUUAUCCACUGCUAUUUAAUAUUUGCACAAAAGGUUUGCAAGACAGAGUCCUCAGCAUUGCUUUGUUUGAGAAGCUAAUAGGGUUUCUAGGAAACCAGCAGGGUCUGGAGGGCCAUCAGAUCAGCCUGUUAGUGGCUAUGAAGGACAAUUAGGCCUGAUGGAGUUACAGGGUGGUUGGCUAAAGGAUGGCAGUCCCUGAGCCAGGGCCUGAUGCUGGGGCAUUCAAAGUCAGUGGUAGAACUUCCACUCAGAGCUGUGCUUUAUGAGAAGCCAACUGGAGAGGAUCCAGUUUUCACACCCUGGGUAGGUCCAUGUCCUGGUUGAAAUGGAAGCUCCAUUUGCUCCUAUGCAGAGCAUCAGAAGGGAUUUGAGGGUGAACAGGUUUGACAGACAAACUGUUGGGAGGAAUAUUAGCAAUUAUUUUUUGGCCCUGGUCUUAGGUUUGUCCCUGUAUAUUAGCAGUCCUUGGAAAGUUCCCCCAAAGUCUAACAGCUGCCUUUGGCUUGGCCCCCACAUUUCUUGCAUUGGUUCAUAGUAGCCUGUAUCGUUCUACAAAUUCCUUAUUAAGUGAAUUGAAGUUCCCAUUCAUAAAGAUAUAAUUAACCAAUAAAUAUACCUGCAGAAAUUUCCAAACGUAGAUGUCUGAAGGUGAGAUCCAUGUUUAAGCUCCUAAAUACAUGGCCCAACUUUAAAAUCCCCACAUCCAUCUUCUUGCUUCAAGUGAAAUGGAAGCUUCCUACUAUUCAGUGCUCAGAUGGCUGUGGGGUACCAAAACACAGACCAAGGUGAUGUUUUGGCACACGGGUUUAUAGAGUGAUCAAAGUAGUGUGACAUCAUUGCACAACAACUGCAUCAGAUGAUAAAAUGCCAUGUACUCCCAUAUAACAUGUUGUAUGGAUGCAUACCGCUGUUCCCAUAUAUAUCCAGAACUCUUCUGGGAGGAUUUCUGGGACAACAAAUGCUUUCAGUAUUUCCUGCAGAGGAACAUGUGCCUGGGAUCUGUGUAGAUGCCAACAGCCAAAGCCUGGGAGCCCCAUUAAAAGAAAUCACCCUGAGCUGCUGCAGCAGGUGAGCCCUUGUCCACCCAUGCUUCACCAGGAGAAAACCUUUUCAGUUACAUUCCGUGGUUUUGUUCCAGUUGUGAUGUCUUCAGCUUCCCCAUUUGUCAUUUUUUAGUAAUUUAAUUAACAUUCCGAAGGAAGAAUUUUAAUAAAGGUGCUGUUUACACCGAAUGCAGCCUUGGGGAGUGAGGGAGAAUAACCCAGACUGCAGGAGUGGGGAGCAUGCUAUUUUGGAAAGCCAAGCCACAGCCUGCUGGAAGCACCCGGUUCUACUCAACCUGUCCCAGUAUCACCCACAGCCCAAACUGCCUGUUUGUGCUGGAGAUUCCUUUCCCCAGUGCUUUCAUCCCCAUCCUUCCUUGCUUAUGAAUCUUGGGUUUGGCAGCAAGAGCUUUAGGGUGGCAUUUGCACAGCGAUUCUGCAUGCACGCUCAUUCCUGUCUUCACUGAUGCUUUCACUUGAUGCAAAAUUAGGGGGUGGGAUUGGAUAAUGCCCAGAAACCAGCACUGUUGAUUACAAAGCAAACAAUUGGCAGGGAAAGGAGUGUGCAAAAAUGCGUGCCUGCAGCUUGCAGCUGCAGAGGUGGUGACCAUUGGCUAUUUUGCCACGUGCUGUGGCUGUAAAGCUACAAGCAUCCUUCCUGCGCAUGGAUGUCAAUUUGCCCCAUGAUGCUGCAGGGAUUCAUUGGAGCUACUCACUUUCCUCUGUUUACAGGCUAAAAUAUUUGCAACUUCAUGUUGUAAGGGCUUGGGCAUCUCCUAUUAGACAAGGAUAAAGCCCUUCUGGAUGCACUGGUGGGUGUUUGUAGAGACGUUGCAUUUUUGGAAAAAAAAAAAUAAUAAUUAUUAUUUCUUUUAUAUAUUUCCAGGGUGGUGUGAAGGAGAACAUCCUCCUCCAACAGUUCAUGCACAGCUUCCCACUUAUGCAUUUUUCAGAACGAAUGCAGCAAAUAUACCUGAUCAGUGCUGAUACAACUGCUUCUCCUCCCCGACAUAUUUACACUAAGAGAUUGAUGAACCACAGGAAAAGAAGAAAAUAACAGAACAAACAACUUAUCUUCCCAGAAGCUCCCUAGAAACUUAUCUGUCAUCACUGCCCAGGCUGCAGCAAGAGGGGAUUUCAGCAUGGAAGGUAUUCUCAGUGUAUGCUGUUCACUCUGAGGGAACUUUUGACACCCAAGCAUUCUUUUCAGUGUGAGAAGCGAUUACUGCUUCCCAAAGGGGAGAGCUGGAGACCUGAGCCCUCAGCUCUGCACAUGCUCCUCAACCCCAACUUGUUCUCAGGAAAAAGUACCAGGUAUUUGCCUGAUCUAACGGAAUACAUGGAAAAAAAACAAACAACAACAACCAAACCACUAUUUGGAUUUCAGUAGGACUUCAGCAUAGACGCUUUGACACUUAAGGUGAGAAAAAUGAGCUACAGAGGAAAGCAUGGGUUUCCUUUUAGCUGAGGAGGGAUGCUCCUGCAGCUCCACUGCUCCUCAUGUCUUUGUCUUUAAAACACUCAGUGACAUAAAAAUUAGACGCACGUUAAACCUCAAAUCUAGCAAAUAGCUCCAUCUCUUAAAGCAUGUGAAUACUCCUGAUACUAUUAAGAACAUUUAACCGGUACCUGAGGGACUGGGGACCUGGAGUCAGGCGACCCAGUUUCCUACAUAAGAAAAGAGAGAAAUGUCUGCCUCCUCUAAUGCCAGGGGUUAUCCUGGGCCAGGUAUCUUUAAAAAGUAAAGAUGUGAGCAAUCUCAUAUCAGACUUAUGCAUCCAAAUGGCUCAUUAUACCAGCAGUAAUAGCUUGUGAUAGUCCUAUAGAUUUACAGUACUUAGGAAGAGAUGAUGCCCAACGUCCUUUCCCAACAAUCAUUAUGACAUGGGGAAAACCAGUGAUUUUCUUUAAGUCCAUUAGCAUAAUAUUUGUGCUUAUGAGGAUUAGACCAGCAGACACUUCACAGGUCUUUAGAAACAUAAGCCCAACACAUUCAAAUGGAGACUUUUUUUGGAACAAAGCUAUUAUCUCUCAAAUCACCCAAUAUUGCUGGCCAGUUUGGGGCAGCUGGGAAGCAGCAGGUGCUUCCACCCCAUUCCCUGCCUUGCCAGCCCCAGAAUUCCCAUUUCGUGAGCAGCUCAGCGCAUGGAACAAAACACAAGGAGGGAACUUCAGAUCAAAACGUUUAUUCUUCAUUGCAGCGGAUGAAACACAGGCACGAGGCUCCUGGGGGGGAGGUGUCUGAGCAAUCACACGUAAAACGUACAGCAUUUGCACUUGAAAUACACAGACCUGAAUCACAGCUGGGAUCAAUACAGGAGGACGAUAGAGAUUAUCAAUCUUGAGUGGUCUCCGUUACACAGAAUUGACUGGCAGCCACAUAAUGGCUCGGGCUCAGCCCACCAGUUUAGAGCCCGGGUGACAGAUCUGCAGACGCCAGCCAUCAGCAUCCCUCCUUGGCCCCUCUCACGUGCCCAUUUCUUCUGCUGUCCGGGUCAGCCUCCGAGGUGCGUCUGAGAGAUCAAUGCACAGCUACAGCUGGUUGAAGGGGACCAAAUCCAUUGAACAGUUGAUUUGGUUCCAUUUUACCAGCUUUAGCAAAGCAUUUGGCCUCACGCUCUGCAAAGCAAAGAGGGGAACUCCUCAGGGCCUUUUCCUUCACAGUCGCCAGGACCUCUUCUGAACUUGCUGCCUGACGUUGCACGGGUUCACAUGGCUUCGCUUUCAGGCAUUCAGGAUUUAUUUAAGCUUCUUAGCAGCUUUGGCUGAAGAGCGAGUCUGAAUUAAAGAGGCAGUUUUAAAAGCAGUGGAACAGUCUGCAGCACUCAGUGCCUGCCUGUAGCCUUUUAAACCCGGUGUUUGGCUCUGUUUUGAAGCUGCAUUGCUACCACAGUGUGACUGAGUAGUGUCCUAAUCCAGGUCAUUUAAUUGCCACCUCCAGCCUUCUUUCUUUCAGAUCUUUUGUCUGCUAUCCCCACCCGUGCCCUGCAUUCUGGUAACUCAAGUUUUCUCAUCUACCUUUAAAAUCAGUGCUUUCCAUGGCUUUCAGAUCUGUUGAAGACAAGCAAGGACUGUAUUUACCACCAUCGGGAGGGCGUUGAGUGGAAGAGAAAGCGGAGCAGCCCUGCAGCCUCCCAGCCCCAUCCUCUGCAAGGGCUCAGCCUGCAGCUCCCGGAGAGCCCCACGCUGUGAGCACCCACUGCUCCCAAUAACUCAGUAAAUCAGAUUUUUAAAUCACAGCAGCAGGAGCCAAUAAAGCCAGACCUCUCCUUCGUAACCCAGCGCCACGCGCAGAUAUUGCACAUCGCCACGUGCGUAACCUAUUUAAAGAAUUUACAUGCAUCGCGAGGCAAAGGUGACUUUUUCCCCCCUCUCCCUCACAGCCCACCGCACACACCACGACAUGACACCGAGAAAAAAGCACCUGUGCUGAAAGGCACUGCAUGCAGAGAUAUUGCAUGUGGGCCGGUAUUGCUGGUCCCCAAGAAAUCCAGGCUUUGCAUUGUAACAGUAAGUAGUGCAGAUCACUUAACUGCCCAGCCCCAGUACUGUAAGCUGCCUAUAAAUAAAUGCGGAGAGAGAGCGAAAGAGAGAGAGAACAUCUUUUUUAAAAGAGCUCUACAAUUAAUUUAAUCGAGUUAUCUCUAGGUACCUUUUCAAGAGACAAUCAAGCCAAGGAGCUAAAUGGAAACUUAGACAGUGAGGACCUAGAAGUAUUAAACUCAUCCUUUGGUGAGUUAUAGGAGGGAGGGAAGUAAUUAUUUACCAGAGAACGGGAGGAGGUGGAAGUGCCAGCAGUGACCGAUGCUGCACCGAGACUGCAAGCUAAACCCUGACGGGCAUAUGGAUUUUGGGAGGCAGAGCAAUGAACUGCCCGAACAUCAGCAUGGCGUGCUCCAGGUGCCCUUGUCCUGUCCCCAUCCCAUUGGUUUUGGCAGGAAGGGCGUUAAAACAAGCAUCUUCUGCUGGAGAUGAGUGCUGCUCUGUUCCCCUCGCUUUGCUUCAGGGAGUGCCCCGCAGCACAUCCGAAAUCAAUGCCAGCACGCGCCGACAUUCCGUAACGUUUUGUUUGAAUUCUCUGCAGUGAGUUAUGAGUGAGGUUUUCCUUUUUAGAAAAUUAGGUUUUCUCUUCUGGAUGCCAUUAAUCACGACUAACGAUGGCUCUGGCGGCGAGGCUUUCCCAGAACUGAGGAAAAGCAUCCCCACACCUCUGCUGCAGGGCUGCAGCACAUGGGGCUCACAGCCCCCACACACCUGGGCCCGGCCAGCAGUGCAGCAAGAGGAACUGCAGAGGCUUUGCUGGAUGUGUUCAAAGGUGUGAGCUGUGCUGAAACCCAGUCAGACCAGGCUUUGGUGUCACUUACCCUUCCUAUUGCCCUCCCAGGUUCAAGGACCGGGCGACCCAGCGCCACCAAAUUUAGGUUUGCUGUCUGAAGGUCAUCCUCAUCCAGUUGUUUCCUCCCAGCAGUGCUUGGAAUUGGGUCUCACUGGGAAGGUCCUUUCUGGUCGCUCUGUCCCUAGGACCCUGCCCAUGGGACCGACACCGCCCCAGCCAGGAAUGGCCACAUAGUGGAAUGGCACUGGGGAGAUAUAGGAACACAUCUCUGAAGCAAAUCCAAGGCAAAAUAGCAAAAUAAAGCUGUGCAUCUCAUUCCCCUCUCUGCCAGUCACUGUGUAAUGCCUCGGUUUUGCUUUUGGUCUAAGUGUCAGCUUUGCAGUUCAUGAUUACACUUCUGAGAGCAGCCAGAUCCCUGUGUUAUCAAAGCACUGCCAUGGCAAGUGGGGCCAAAAGUGGGCAACAUAAGAGAACCUGGGGCAAUGAAGACCUUUGUGCUUUAGCCUCAACAUUCUAAUGAAGAUGUUUUAUAUAGACAGCACAGAAUAGCCAAAGAAUUUAUCAACAUUUGUCGAUAUUCCUAAUGAAGCAGAAGAUUCAACAUGCAAUAGAAUUAGCCUACAAGGAACCCUUGUGUAGGGCCCAUCCUUCUGAGUCCAGAAAUCUCCUGCUUAUUCCAGUCCAAUACCCUUUUGAGAAAUGAACAUCUCUUGAAAUCAUUAUCAUUAUAAGCUAAAAGGCCAAAUGAGACAAAGUACUGUUGCUCUUCAUCUGAAUAAACAAAUCAUUUUUAGAUCAAAUGCAUUAACAAUUUAUCAUGCUAAAAUCCAAUCAAAAGGAAAAAACAACAAUACAGAACAUUGAUUUCUUACAGCUUUAUCUUAAUGAAGUGCACAUUCCCUCUGUAAUUAGCUUUGGAAGGUUUUUUUCCCUUUCCUCAAGUUAAUGUGUUAUUUGAUUUCCAUCCAAAUGUCACUAAAUCUGAGGAAUUUUCCCCAAAAUGAAGUGGCUUUUGAUAAUACAGGAAAACGUCUGCUCUCUCAUUUGGCUAUUUUUCCCCCAAACAGCCAUACUUGUACUGCAGAUGAUUCAACUUUAUUGCAUGGUGUCUUUGCGAGGAUGUUUAAAUCAAUGCCACAGUUGCUGUAUUCUGCACAAUGUGCCAUUUGUAAGCCAGAAAAUACAACCUCGGUGCUUUUAUCCUUUUUCUUACAGACAUAAAAUAUUAAUUUAAUUUAUAUUAUUACAGGGGAAAAAGUGGACUGUGUUUUAUUAACAUUUCUAAAAUUAUAGGUAUUCAACCCAAAAAAUAUGCUUCAGCCAAGGCUGGGAAGUCUUCCGCUUGGAUUUUAUUUGACUUAAUUAAAAAGCACUCAGUUCCUAUGGGCACUAAAGGAGCUGCUGACAGUGCAGUAGCCACUCAGUCUUUCAAAACUAUUACCUGAACUUAAUAAAGUGUCUAUUUAGUUUAUACACCUCCAUGAUCCCACCUGUCUCCCACCAACAUGAUGCAAUUCUUGCUAAUGGCUGGAGAAGGCAGCGGGUUGAUGGCAGCCCACAGGCACCCCAGGCAGAACAAUUCCCAUAUCCUAUUGCCUGCCCUAUCUACCUUUAAUCACAGGGUCACAGAAUGGCUUGAUUUGGAAGAGACCUUUAAAGCCCAUCUGGUCCAACCCCCCGCAAUGAGCAGGGAAACCCACAGCUCCAUCAGUGCUCAGAGCCCCUCCAGCCUGACCUUGGGUGUCUCCAGGGAUGGGGCACCUCUCUGGGCAACCUGUGCCAGUGCUUCACCGCCCUCAGCAUAAAAACCUUCUUCCUCAUAUGCCAAUAUCCGAAGCGUUCAAAUCUCCACCAUGCUUGUAAUGAUCAAUGCUAGGAAAGCUUUUUCCCGGCUGCCUCUCUGCUCCUCCACUACAUAUCUCAUUUAAAUCUUUUCUUCUUUAAAUGAUGCUGAACAGAGGACUAUUGCUUUCAUCCUGCUUCACUGAGUAUUUGCUGAAAUGCAGUGGCUAAUUUGAUAGUCCGGUUUUAUUUGGACGUACUGUCGAGACAGAGAGCAAGAUCUAUAACAGAGAAUAUAACCCCAAAUCCUACCAAUUACCAGCUUAUUCCUUAGUUAUACAGGAGACCACAAGUGACCUUAUCAAAAUCUUGACUCUCAAUAUGAACAUCUUCGUCUUAAUCCAAAUUUCACCCUGGAGCUGAAGGUCCUGCUUCAUACACAGCCUAAGAACUGCGGAGCAUCCAUUGCAGCAGGGAGCCCACCCCUGGGACAGGGCUGCCCGCCGAGAGCUGCAGCUCCUGGAACUGGCAGCAGAAAUAGUUUGGAGUUUGGAUUUUUAAACUCACACACUCAAAGAGAACAAAGCUGUUCCCUAAUACACUUUGUGCAUUUUAUGGACCGAACAAUUAAAGAGGUUUUAAAACAUCUGCUGACUGCAUAAUUCCAUACAGGGGAGUGUACUCAGCAUUUUUAAACAACAACGGGUACGAGAUACCACUUAACAGUACAAAACACCAUCAGUCCCGUUAAAAUCAAUAGAAAAUUAGAUGCUAUGAAAAUGCAAUAUGUGUCCAAUUAGUUAUAAUUGGAGCAAAUGGUGAUGCAGAUAAACUCCUGGAGUAAGAUGCAUUUGUCCGGCCCGCUCCCUGCCUGCUUUCGGCACAGCACGGUAUCGGCAGUGGCAGGCUCUGCUGUGCCCCAUAGCAUGAAGGAUGAUCCCUCUAAUACACGUAUGUUAACUGUUAUCUAAUUAUGGAGCUGCUCUGAGCCUGCAGGACUGUUUCGGUGCCCCACCGUGCGCGGUGAAAAAUGAUCCUCUGUCACACGGAAACCUCCCUGUUGUACUUGACAAAUUAUGCCAGCAAACCUGUUUAAGAACUAAAAAAUCCUUGGACGCGGUGACAGGCCAAGAAAUAUGUUGUUUGGGGACAGAUAUUUAUUUAUUUAUCUGGCAGAGGUUAAGAGCCACCACUCGGUUCACUUCUCCCCUGCCUGUCUCCGUUCUGGCAGCUCAAAAUCCGUCUCACCGAUUGUUUCGCCGGUUUCUUUCAACUCAUAAAAACUCCAUUGCAAGGCAAAACAGGAACUAGGUUAUGCGAUGCCAGCGCUUUAUUUUUAACAUCUCCCCUGCAACACGUUGGCCUCCUCUUGGUUUAAUCUUACAACUAAAGGAAUAAGAGCGACGGUUCCGCACAUCCCCAACCGAGUAUUGCCGCCGGCCGCGCUGCCAACCCUCCGUGCCCUUGCAGGGUAUGGAAAUGUGAAACUACUCACGUUGCUCUCAGUACAACCCAUAUUAACUUUGGGGGGUAUUUUUUUCAUAUAUUUGUCUAUAAAGUAGAGAUUACUUUACACAAACAAUUAGCUCAGAGGUAAGAAGCUAUAACUACCGGCAGGGCUCUUAUUUUAUUCCUGUUUUCUGUUAAUAUUAUUAUUCUAAUCAGCAGUAAGGACUGGUGGGUGCAAAGAAAAGCUCCUGUUUGCCCGGCCCUGAAACCUCCUUGUGUUAUUGCUGCUGUUACUUACACGGGAAAGGGAACUGUCUCUUGAGGAAGGGAAAAAAAUGGAGGUGGCAGCUUUUAUUUGUUAAGCUGACUCAGCUGGACAGUGGAACAAGAAAUGUUCAGAUCCAAUCCAUAACUUUUGUGGCCGCUCUAAGGACGUAUUCUUCCUCGACACUGAUAAAAGUUUAAUAUGGAGUUGCCCAGGUUUUUAAUAAACUUGUCAACAAAAGAGCAAGGCAAAUUGAUGGGGACCUUCCCAGGAAUAAAUUCCACUUCAAAUAGGCCAAAUGAGUGUGGAGGACAGAGAGGGGAAGGUACACGGGCAGCUUCUGCUGUUCUUUGCAAAAAUGGCACAAUGGAUUUUAGUGGGUGCGUAUGUGUGUGCGUCUUAUUAUCUCUGAGACAAGGCUUUAGGACAAAGCUUAAAUUAAAGAACACAACCUGGUGUGGCUCAGAGCCCUGACACGGCAAGGAAGGGAAGGGACAAAGCUCCGGCACUGAUUUAGCGGUGAAGCCAUUCCCCACUAAGGAACUGCCAUCUCACCCUGCGAGUAGUGCCGCAUCUCCCAGUGCACCUGAAGGCUCCAGGCAUCUCCUACCCAGACUGUGGUCACUUUGGGACCAUCCCCAACACACUCUGCAACAACCUUUACUCAUACGCUGAGUAUCACCUGUGCCCACCCAUGCAUCACCUGCCCGCCAGCAGACCCUCUCUACUCUGACCUGUGAUGCCAACAGAGUUUUAUCCCACAUCCCCCACUACGCACAUCACAUUUCAGCUACUGCCUGCGCGUUUAUCUCCACUCAGUCAAACCAAUCCCAUUCACUGCUCAAUUUUUUUACUUCCAUACAUCAUGAGCUGCCUCCAGGCACCACACCGCCCCUUCCCAUGGCAUUGACUGCAGGCAUGGCAGGAGGGGCACACACUGCAUGCUCUGCAAGCUUGGGAUGGAAAUCUCUGCACGAGAUGCAUUAUUUUCUAUUAGCCUCCAUCAAGCUGGUGCCUUAAAUUAUUAAGCUUUGUUGUGGUGUUGGUUUGUUUUUUUUUUUAAUUUGUUGACCUGAAGUAAACACAAGUAUUAAAUCAGAUUCCAAUAAUCUCACUGACAGUAAAUUAACUCAUUGUGUCCUAGAGGGGGACGCAACCGCAUCUUGGCCACUCUGAGCAAUGCUUCACCAUCCCUGCAGAUUCCACAUGCAUGCAAUGGGGUAAAAAGCAGAAGGCCAGAUCCUGCCUCCAACCUUGGGCCAUGUCCCAGAUUGGAAGCUCUGCCUGGAUGCCGCGAUGAAAUUUAUUCCUGAUCAUUCUUAGGUCACCGGAUUCCUGCUCCGGUAGCUUUACCCGACCCCCCAAAUGCCAGGGUCGACGUGCCUAUGUAAGGGCUUUGCAGGGACGGCUCCUGCCCUCACAGCUGCUUGGGGACUUCUGCAGCCGGUGGUCACGAGCCCCUGGCUGCCCAGAUGCCACCUAAUCCGGCCCGGCAGAGGGGCAGCUGAGAAUGAGCACUAUUUAUACCAGCUGCUGCUGGUCCCGCUGGGCUGCCUGUGGCUUUUUUAGCUAGCAGCUCCCAUCCCAGCGCAGGCCAUAUCUGGACAUGGCACAGGCAGAGUGCUGUGCUUCGAGAAGAGAAGAAAGAAAAAAAAAAGAGGGAAAAAAGGAAAAGCUGCAUCUGUUUUAAGAUGUCAGGCACCCUGUUUCCAUCAAAGCAUCCUGAGCACCACCAAAACUGCUCCAACUGCUAAAAGCUUCACUAUAAACUUGCCUCUUAUUCCAAGUGUGUCUGUCCUCUGACAACCUUCCACCCGUGCACAUGGCUAUUGGCCUCUGUUCCUUCAUACAGACCUCUAUGCAAGAAAUGCAAGCUCAAAGCAAGGGUGAAUGCUGACACUGCUUACACAGUGUGAGCAGAAUCUCCUUUGGAGAAUUACAGGGUGUCAGAGGAGGCAGGCGGCUUGGAGCUCUGCCUGUUGAGGAGGCUGCACAAGACUUUGCAUUUUGGCCAUUACACACUCAGAAUGAGCUUGUUCUUGGGUAAUUGCACCAAGACCUUCUCCAGUCCUAUCCCUGCAAUGGCUUCAGCAUCUCUACAUGAGCAGCCCCCUCCCUCUGGGGGAAUGCAAGGCAGGGGAGCAGCAUAGCUGCCUGCAGCCCAGCAAGCAGGCGGUGCAAUGAGCUGCACUCGCCAUGACCCUGCAUCCCAACAGGGAAGCAUCUUGCUGCAUGAUGGCUUCAGGUCAAGAGCAACUUCAGCAGAAAGCGCUAAACUGAGCGCCUUCACUGGGAGGGAAUCGCUGAAAUCAGCGCCCGGCUUUCAGGGGAGGGAUGCGAGCUCCGGAGCGAGGAUAUUUCUCUUGCAAGGAACACACCACCCCCUCGCCCACAGCCACCGUGAAGUGCAAGAUGUGGUGAAACUCUUUAAAAAUAGAUAUAUUCCCAAGCAAUACAUGCCGCUCGCAUCUGGCAGGGCAAACCUAGCAUGGAAGCUCUUGCUUACAGACUAAAAAGCCUCGGAGCAGCUCAAGGCUCCUGCAACCUUGUCUCUCUCCUCGAUUCUUCAGAGCCCGCUCUUGUUCUUGGCCUAACCCAGUCCUGGGAAGCACAAGGGAAGCCCUGCCCAGCUAGGCUGGUGUCAAAGGCAGGGAAAGAUACUGCAGUGCAGUGCUGAUCUCUUCUGCAAUCGGACGUGCAGACUAGCCCGAAUGCUGAGUCAGCACAAUUUCUUUUUUGAUUGGUUGAUCCGAGUAACAUACUUUCAAUGUAUGCUAAAGGGGCAGCAAUUAAUAUGUUUUCCCCCCGUUCUCCACCUUUCCAAACCUCCUCAAAUCAAACACACAAAUCUCACCCCCAAAGUCACUCUCUGGUCCUAAAUAUUCUGAGGCUCUUUCAUUUUUAAUUUAGGGCAUUAAAAAAAAAAAAAUUUGCAAUCUAAGCGAUGCUCACUUUGAUCGACUUGUGCUGCAGCAGCUAAAAUAUCUGUCCUGCAGGUCAAUCUAAUCAUGCUUAAUAGCAGUUUAUUCUUCAACGCAACAUUUUUCACAUUGGGUCGACAGUUUUAAAUGAGAUUGCUGAUGCACCCCUUUACUAAUGCUUUCACCAGGGCCAGCACAUCCCUUGAAAUACUCGUGCAAUAAAAUGAAUGCUUUAUUGCUCUUGAUGAAUGCACUAUUAAACUUGAAUUGCAAAUAUGCCCCCCCCCCCCUUUUUUUUUUUUUUUUUACAAAAGAAGAGUGCUGGGAUUUAUUGGACCACCUGUCUUCCAGUAUUAAGUAAUAGCAACAAAAGUAAUAAUAGCUCAUCAACAUAAACACAUGAAAGGGAAAAAAAUAAUUCAGGGGAAAACACACAGCACGAAUUCAUCCCCGUGCUCCCAUGCGCGUGUGCAAAAUUCCCAUUCUAUACCUGCCCGUAGUUCCUCUUAUGUGCAGAAAAUUCAUCUCAAGAACGGAUGGGUUUUGUGAGGCAUAGAAUAGGAAAACGUAACUAAUUUGGUCCACUGGAUUUAUGGCUUUUACAGUCCUCAGAGCUCCCGUUUCUGCUGGUGGGACCGCUCAGUGCGCGCUUUGCGGGACGGAUGGGCACAGCCGAGCAUCGCGCCUCGCUUCAGCACAGAACCUGCAGCUCUGCUCUAUGGAGAGCGAAGGAGAAGAGGCUUUCUUCAAGCUAAGAAAUAGGGAGGACCUAGUGUGGAGGAACAGUCACAGUUUUAAUCCAAACAAGAAGAAAAGCGAGAAGGAGCUGGAGCUAAGAGUAAGAAUGGCGCAAACUGGUGGACGAUGCUAAUGACUAAAGGGCUGACGUGGUUUUGGGGUCUUUACAGCAUUUCUAUUUAUUUUUUGGCAUUGCCACACUGCACCAGAGAUGGGGUAGGGUCUCAGGAUGUGUUCUGCACCCACACACCUCCACCACGUGGCUCCCACACCGUGAGACAGAGCUGAGUUAUGGUUUUGAAAAUAUUUACAUAAAAAUAAAUCUGAACACUUAGUGACUUCCUAAAGUUAGCAAUUCCGUGUGAUUAACAAGCAUAUUAAUUCAGAGAGGGGGAAGGAGAUAAAAAUUGCAUUAGGGAUGCAGGUAUCUGUUGUAAAUCAGACCAUGAGCACCUUCGCUAGAGAUAUGCACAGUGAUGUGGAAGGCUCAGUAACACCCGCGCUGAGAAUGCAGAGAAAGAGAAGAAAACAAGAAAAAGAAAGAGCAAGACAAUGAGAGAAUGAAAGAAAAGAGAAAAAAAAAAAGAAAAUAAAGAAGAGAAAAAUAUAAGAGCGGAGUUGAAAGCAAGAAAGCAAGCUAGAAAUAAGGAGAAAAUGAGAAGCACACAAGUAGAAGACAAGGAAAGAAGGAAGGAGAGGAAAGCAGUGAGGAAAAGGGAAUCGAGAAGAGGUAGGGUAAAAGGUCACCUGGGAGAGGAGGGAAAUUGCUAUUGUGGCCAGAAUGGUGAGAAUCAUCCCCAUUUUUCACACAGCAAGUCAAGCUCCCAGCAGUGAUGUACAAGUGAGAGAAAUUGCAGCCCUGUUUGGCCAUGGGAACUCUGCUGCUCCGUCUCUAUUCAUUUCCCAGCACCUUUGUAUUUAAUUGUGGCCCCAAACUGGGGCAGGACACCCUCAGUGGCUGGGACCCAUCCCUGUCCAGGGGACAAUGCCUCUCCUCAAAGCACCUGGCAAAGCAGAGGUCCCUCCUCCCCCAAGCAGAGGUUGAGCACUCCAUGUGUGUCCACCACUUGUAUCAUCUUUCUAAAAAAAGAAAGAUUUAUAAAACUUACAGAAUUCUGUACAUUGGAAAUCUCCUUAAGAGCCCAGCCCUCCUUACUUAACCUGCUAUUCACAAGUGCCUGCUUUCCGUUAAACCCCAUUUGGUGUACGUGUAACAAGUGGCAGCAGUGCUUGCCAUGAAUCACAACAAACUGAGGCUCAGCAAAGGCCUUCAGAGCACUUUUGCCAAGCACAGAGAUGUGCUGAAACCAGAGGGAACUUGCUCCAGAGCAGAACACUGCUGUGCCCUCGGCUGCACGGCGGGGUGAUGGGGAUAAGUUUGGGAGUAGGUGGGAUGGAGAAAUGCAGUGCCUAACAGCCCAGAUAUGUGCAUCUCAUAAGCUUGAGGAAAAUGGGGGCUGAAAGCUUCACCCGCCCCUACCCAGACAGAAAGUUCUGAUUGUUCGCACAGAACGUUACACCCAUUUGUAUCAUUGCAUCUCACUGCCGUGGGAUGCUGGGAGAAUAACCAGGUGUUUUACGAUGAGAAAGGUUAAAAAGGAAAACCAGAACACCAGGAAAGCUUCUCAAAUUCAAGGUGCUAUUUUCCUUAUUUCCCUCUAAUAACCCUCUAAUAACACACACUGGGAGCGCUCACUGCCUCUGGCUGGGAGCUGGGCACCCACUGGCCAUGUCCAAGGGCCAACACACGCACAGUGAACAUUGCUUCCUCUCCAGCAUUAAGCACAAAAAGUUUUAACACAGGAAACAUCCCAAAAGCUGUCUGCGUAUUUACGUGAAGCCAAAAUACUGCACCUCCAAGUCACAACUCCUUCCCUUCUUCUCCCCGCCUCCAACUCCUUUCCUUUUCCCUAGGAUUAAGGACCAGCUCUUUUACCCAGCCUUAUUUUUGGGAAAAAGGGCCGAGGGGGAAGCAGCAAUCCGGAGGGACUGGUCUGUAUCCCCGCUGAAAACCAGGAGUGGACAGCCAGCUUUCCUCUGGCAUCGCCUUUCAAAGCCCAUGCCGCAGUCAGCAUAUUGAAUAUUUAAUGUCCUGAUGAGCAUUUCCACCUGCUGACACAGGCAAAGUGACAGAACAAUACACGCACUGGAACAAGAUCACCAAUUGACUCCCCAGCCAGUCUGCCAUGUCAGGCAUCUCAAAAAAAAAAGACAAAAAUCUGUCUGUCUUCCUCCCCCCCCCCCCCUUCACACGGGGUCAUACAUUGCUCCUCCGAGAAGAGUUCCCACCUGAAAUACAUACUUCUUUACAUUCCAUAGAUUGCCAGGUUCAUAUGGGCAUAUAAAGAAGUAUGUCUCUCAAGCAGGUAGGUUCAAUAUGCGCAUUUAUAUGUACACGGGAGGAAAUAGGGCUGGCGUGCCAUUUACUUCCCAGGAGUGAGUUACAGCACAGUUUGAGGCAGCCCAUGUGCAAAACACACACAUGCAUGCACACACACACACACACACACACACUCACUCCCCUUGCUGGUCAUUCCGGCUCUGCCCCUGCAGGUUGCUGGGGUUUAGGGCUGGGAAGAGGCAGUGGGCAAUGCCUGGAGUGCCUGCAGCACUUUGUCAUGGAAUGGCACAGAGGAAAAGCCCCACUCCCAGCCCCCCUACAAAGAGGAUGCUUUCACUGAAAUUGCAAACUUUCAGCAAUUAAAAAGGCUUUAGUUGAAGGAAUUUGCUUUCUGUGUAUAUAUAUAUAUAUAUGCAUAUAUAUAUGUGUGUGUAUAUAGAUUUAGACAAAGCCAUGUGGGUGGAGGUUAAGUAGAUAUCAAAUCCCGAUCGCCUCCAUCCUGCAAUUUAGAAACAAGAAGCCAAUUUGCUUUCAGAAAGCCAAAAUCCAGCAUCCGGCACUGAUUUACAAAGCAACACCAGCAAGAAGUGCUCCAUCUGGCAGAGCAAGAGAACUCACCAGCUACAGACACGCCAUCGCUUCCAGCACUAAGUAGAGAUUAAGGCAUAGGAAGAAGAAAGCAUCUUACCUAAAGAAUCCAGUGAUUUUUCCUCUGCUGGUCACCGUGAGUGUGACACUACCUUGCAGCAAACAAUCCCCAAUAUACCUUGGGAGAAGGGCGGGGGAUUUCGGGGUAUUCAAAAAACGUAUAUAAAAAACAAUUCGCUUUUCACAAGUCAUCCAGCGGAGCCCCACACCUGGGGUAGACACCAGCAGAGAUGCAAACUAAAAAGCAGCCCCAGCCCCGUGCUGGUGGCUUAGGCCAAAAAAGUCUUUCGGAGUUGUCCCCGUGGGGCUCAUCCCCACACGCAGCCAUCAGUUCCCGUUGCCUCUGCCCUCCGCCAGCAGCCACGCUGAGCUUUAAAGCUCCGGAACAAUGUGGCUGGGCUGAAUGCAGGGCGGCAUUCCGGAGGUCACGGCGGGCGCUGCCGCUCGCUCAGCACAGCGGGUGUGCGCUCACCUGCGCCCCUCGCCCCGCCGCCGCUCGAUUGCAAUUUGCAGGCGAAAUGCACAACGCCUGCCUCGACGCUAAUGAAUUUGGCCAUUUCUCACCGGUUUCUAAUGAAGCCUUUAAAGAGGGUUUAAGUAAACUUAGCAAGUGGCAAAGUAAGCACUUUGGAAUACUUAAUUGUAUCGAUGUGUUGGGUGGUUUUUUUUUUUGUUUUGUUGGUUUUUUGUUUGUUUUUUUUCCGCUGCUUUGUGAAAUAUAUCACUGGGAGAGUGGGAGUAAAUACUUCCCUGUGCUGAUUGACUUCCACACCAUCAGGCUGCAAAGCCCCGCAGAGCCGGGGUGCAAACCCAUGGGCUCGCCCCAACCCCUCAGUGCCACGCACCACGCAGCAGAGUGGGUGUGAGCCCAGUGCUGGUUCGGCACUGUGCCCUUCCUCACUGCCACAGGGCUUCUGGCCCCACUAAAUGUCGUCAUUUGUCUCAUUUUGAGGCAAAUUUCCACCACUGGUUUGGAGUAAUGGGAAGAGAGAUGGAGCUGUGGCACCAUGAUAAUGCAUGACUGCAGUGAAAUUAAAGUGAAGGGAGAGGAGCGUGAGGGAAAGCCUGGGUGCUCCGAUUCUAAAAAGAAUUCCUCAAAAGCCCACAAAGAACUGAGUUCAGGUGGGUUUCACAUGGCCAAGUCGCUUGGCCAUGUUGAAUUCCCCUCAGACAAACACCAACAGGCCAAGCAACGGAACAGAACAGCUACUUGACGUCUUGGACCAUUGCACAUUUCACCUCACUCCCGAUUUGCUUUCCUGAAAUCCACCUGCCAUGGACUGUCCUGAACUGUCCCAAACUUCUGCAGAUGAGCAGGAGAAGGGGAUGCCAGCCAACUACAGGGAACUAAAAGACGGCACAUAAAAUCCUUACAAAUAUUGAAGACAGUGGAACAACCGCAGCAGGGAGGUUCAUCUGUUGGUUGCUCCCAGAAAGGCGGUGGAUCUAGAUUUCAAUCUGCCCGUGAGUUGUAGGGUUGGCCCUGCUGGUGGAGGAGCAGACAUGCGGCGUGGUGGUGAUUUAAUGGUGACGCCAGAGGCACUUUGUGGUCCACAUCCUACAGUGAGCACCAGGAGUAAUGGGUGGUGGGCGAGCAUCGCCCAGCAUCCUCCACACACCUCGGCUCACCCAGAGCAGAAAAAGCUGCACAAUAAAAUUGUGGUUGUUGUGGGGGGAAAAAUGCAUGGGAAUGUGGAUAGUGCAGAGUGCAAGGAGCAAAUAAAAGGGAAGGAUGGAGAUGGAGGGAUGGAGGGAGUGGGAAGGAUGGAAGCAUGAUGCUGUACACCUGCUCCCUCUAUCCCAUUCUGGAGGAGCUCCUCCAGUCCCGGUGGCAAAGUCAGGCUGUGGCUGUGCAGUGCAAAACUUCAGGGACUUGGAGGCAGCCUGGUUUGGGGCUGGGCACAGCCAAGGAAAGCCAGCAGGGCCGAGCUGCAGGGAAUGGACCAGGCUCAGUCCUUUGGGGCGGCAGCAUGGCCACCCGCACCAGGGAACCAGCAAUUAAACUGCCAGCCAGAUCACAGGGCUCUGCCUCCACAAUUACACACGACUGCUGAGUGCACACUCUCUCCAGCACAGACAUAUGCAAAUAGCCAUACUCCAAGCACAGACUGAAGGUGCAUUGAAUUGGGAUCAUGUGCUACACCUGUUUAUAAUAGCAUUUAAUAUCUCUGUAUAAAGCCGUGUAAAAUAUACAUAUGCAUGCUAUAAAAGAUAUCCCAGUUUGUGUGCAUGCGUGUAUAUAACACAGUACCCCUCACACAAUACCAAUGCAUAUACAUUUAUGUGAUCAGGUAUCACCACUAUCAUAUAAAAUAUAAUGACCACAGCUAACUCUCAGCUGCAAAAGCAAUAACAGCCGAUUGAUGGAUGAAGUGUAACCUGAAUUCAAACCCCUUGCAGGGAAAACCUAACUUCUCCUUGCAUCUCCUUUCUGAUUGCCCACAAGCCAUGCGUCCGCAAUUAACGCUCAGUUCUCGGCAUUGGAACAGUUAAUCACCGCAGCACUGAGAUCACUGCAAGUUAGGCUAAGUUUAACCACAUUUCACCCUUUUGCUCUGUUUGGUAUUAGCUCAGAGCCACUAGUUUGGUGCAAAUAAAUAAAUGAAGCCCCAAUCCCCCUAGGUGUCAUUAGCCAGCCUGGCUCUGAAUUAGGCAUUUAAAGGCCAGUUUAACCUUGCAGAACGGCUGCAUGUCAAAGUUCUAACAUUUCAGUUCAGAUUAUUAUAGUGCACUGCUUGCUCUGCAGUUUGUUCCUUUUUUUUUUCCCCCCCUUUAAAUGCAGAGUAUGCCACAGCAGAACAACAACAACAAAAAAGAAUAAAGGUGGGGGGAAGGUCUCCCAACUCAUCCAUGGAUUAGAGGCAGCCGGCACAUCCCCACACAGACACACACACACGCAGCACACACACAUUUGCCGGAUGCAAAAGCAGACAUUUAAGUCCCCGGGUAAGUUGGAUGGGCACUCAGUCCUGCAUCGGUCAGAAAAGUGUUUAAAAACGAGCUGAGCUAGUGCAGUUAGAGGGAAGAAAGGGAGCAGAAGAGGGGAAGGAAAAAAAGAGACAUACCAGUUAGGAGCUUCUGUUGCAGCAGAGGACUCACCAGAGCACUAGCUGAAAGCUGAAUCAGCUUUCGAGAGUUAGGGAUGCAUAGAGGAGGGUCAUGGAAUCACAAGGUAAUAAUGCGCUUCAUGCUGCAGCCGUCAGCCUUCUCCUUAUAGCCAAUCUCUAAUGCAGGAAGGGAAAAAGAGAGCAGGCCCAGUGAUGGUAUUAGUCCUCACUUGGAGGAAAAAAAAAAAAAAAUUAAAAAAAAAAAUCAUCAGGCAAACCUCCCCCCCACCCUUACCUCACCCCCUCCGCCCAGCACCACUACAACUCCAUCCCUGCUGCUGCAUCGCGGCUGGGCGGUGGGGGGAGGAAGGCGGCAGGCAGCGCGGUACAGCGGAGGCUGAGCAGCGGAGGCUGAGCGGGGGGAGCGGGGCUCCGGGGAGCGCCGGCGGCGGCUGGCGAGGCGGGGGUUAAGGAGAAGGGACCCAACCCGCCCGGAUUGCAGCACACCUGGGUGCGAAAUGGGGCUGUCCCCUCUCUAGAUCCCCUCCUUCCCAAGGGUCAGCCCUGGGUUGGGGUCAGCCGCCGGGAGGGGUACGCACACACGCACCCAGGGGGGAGAACGAGGGGGGCAAGCGCUGGUCAGGAAGCGGGUCCACCUUUCCAGUGCUUAUAUACCCAGCGAAGCAUCCGAAACACGCACCACCGGGCGAGCGGCCCCUGCUCGUGCUCUUUCCUCCC
Long non-coding RNA from Gallus gallus (chicken), 50941 nucleotides. Lineage: Eukaryota; Metazoa; Chordata; Aves; Galliformes; Phasianidae. The record is from Ensembl.